CUUGAUCCGCCACUUGAAAGCAUGCAACGAUGCUUGGAUCGGUACCGGGAGGGAAUGUUGACGGAACCAGUGAAGCGAACGGGCUUGCGUACGCCGGUGGUGGGUAGGUAGCGCCACCGCCGCCGGAGGAGUGAGAAUCUUCCUUUGGUGGUUUCUGGUAAGGGGCGGCGUAAGGAGCGGAGGGUUGGCCGUAGGAGGUGGGGGGUGGUGCGCCGUAGGAUUGAGAUGGCGGUGGUGCGCCGUAGGAUUGAGAUGGAGGAGGAGCGCCGUAGGAUUGGGAUGGUGGAUGUGAGCCGUGGGAUUGAGAUGGAGGAGGGGCACCGUAGGAUGAUGGUGGAUGUGAGCCGUGAGAUUGGGAAGGAGGUGGUGCGCCGUAGGAUUGGGAAGGAGGUGGUGCGCCGUAGCCGUAACCGUAACUGGGAGGUUGAUUUGGGUAGCCGGACAUGUUGAAGAGUGAGAGGGUUUGUUAGAGAAAAUUAUAUGAGUGAAGAAGAGCAGAGACAAAUGAUAGUGGAUUUUGUGGAGGUUCUGGAUUUAUAUACAGCUACUCCUGAUAUAUGCUGAGGUGGAAUGGUUAUGUGGUUUUAGAAAAAAAAAAAUUGUCCUAAAUUAUACGUCGCUUUACAAUACCAAUGAAAUAUUUAUGUUAUUUUUUUUAUUAUAUCCUUAAUUAUUAAUUACUCUAUCUUCUUUCAAUUAUUUCAUUUAUUUUUUUCAUACCAUUUAUUAAGGAUAAUUUUGUAAAAUAACUCAUAAUUUCUCUUCUCUACGCAAUAUUAAUUACAUUUUUUAAUACUGUGAAAUGGUCAAAACGUCUUACAAUUUGGGACGGAGGGAGUAAAAGUUAGCAGCAAAAUAAAUGUAGUUAUAUUUUAAUUUUCAUUUAAAUAUGUUGUGAGUUUUGUUUUUUUCGAUGAGAUGUUCUUAUUGUAAAAAAAAUAAAAUACUACUACGUCUAGUUUCAAUCAUAAGCAACAUUAUAAAUUUUAUAUUUAUUGAAUUUUUAAUGUAUUUGAUGUAUAUUUUUUGUCAAAAAAAAAUGUAUUUGAUGUAUAUUUAAAAUUAAAUAUACUUUUUGAGGGAAAAAUUAUAUUUAUUAAUUAGUUAAUGAAUUUAAAAAGUAAACUUGUUUUAUCUAUAAUUGAAAUCGGAGGUAGUGCAGUUAAAAAAAUUAAUAAAUUUAUCUCAUAUAUUAAGUGACAUAUGAUUGACUAUUUUAUGCAUGACAAUGCAUUAUUUUUAUCUGUAAUAUCAUUAAUUACUUAUCAACAAAAAUCCUAAAGAAGUGUUAUAUUGAAAAUGUUUAUCUAGACAAAUCCAACAAUAUAUUAUGACUUAUAUACUAUUAUUUGUAUGUGUGCAUUUAUAGAAAAAUAUGGUCAAAGUAUCUCAUUUGAAAAAUGUACAUGGUUAAAUUAGUUCAAUUAUUAUGGGACAUAUUGAAAAAUAUAGAACAAAUUAUUAGAAUUAUUAGGUUAAUAUAGUUCAAUUAAUAAAAAAAAAUUAUUCAGCUUAAUAAGCAUGGGUCAGUGGAGUUUUUUUCCACCAUAGGAAAGUUGAUAAUGUGCAUUAGAUUAAAUGUGGAACACAUUCUUAUAUCACUCUCUCAACAUUAGAUUAUUUUUUACACUAUUUUCCACCCUCUCUCUUUCAUGUCCCCACACCACCAUAAAAUCACAUAUUUAGCAACCACUUUGACCACCAUACACCAUCCAUUUCUUACGAUUGUAACAGUUCCAAGAUGAAAACCAAUUUUCAAUAAUUAGACAUGAAAAAACUAAAAUCUAUCAUUAAUGUUGAAAAAAGUUGUUUCGGUAUCAAUAACCAUGACAUCACGGUGAAUAUGGACAAACGAUUUAAUAUGUUCUUCUUUGGUGAAUAUGUUCUCAAAACUAAAAUCCACCAUUCAAGAAAUUUCUGAUCCAAAUUUUUUUAUGUUCUUCUUUGAUGUGAUUUAGAUAUGGGUUUUUGUAUGGGUUGAUUAUCUUGUCUUUAUGCAAUUAGUCUGUUUGAACUGAUUGAAUAUGGACAAGCGAUUAUGGCAACUGAAGCUCCUAAGCAAUGGAUACCCAUUAAAGUUUUUUUGGAGGUGUAAUAAGGUGGGUCUGUUGGAGUGUUGGUGGCAACAAAGACUUGAGUUUACUGGUAGUGGUGAAAGGAGGAAGAUAAGUUGAAGACAAAGUGGGAAAGAUACAAUGUAGGCAGACUAUGAUAACAUCUAUACUCCUUUUUAAUCUAAUGAUCCAAAAUAAACUUUUCCAUGGUGGGAAAAAACUCCACUUACCCAUACUAAACCCCGCCUAAUAGGAUGCGUGGAAUAAGAUUUAUUUGAAUAACCAACACUUUUUUUUAACAAGGCAAAAUGAAAUUAUAUUACCAAAAACAAUAGCAAUCUCUUAGCACAAGGUGUGGAUAGAAGACUACUACCAAUAUACAAUGAACUAAAACAAGAGGAAAAACCCACCGGUGGUUAUCCAAUGCCCAAACAAGCUAAAGGACAUGACCACCACAUAUGACUUCCAAAAACAAAAGUGACAUUUUUAGCUUUAAGCCACACUAACGAUAACAACUUAAUUUUAUCAAGCAAUCUAGGAGUCUCGGUUACAACAUUUUUAAACAAACGAUUAUUACGCUCACUCCAAAUCAUCCAAGUAGUCAAAAGCCAGAUUAACUGAAGAAACGAUCGCCUAGCUUUGGCAAAACCUGACAAACAAGUGAACUGCACUAAGUGAUUAGAAAUAAUGUUGGAGUCGACCCCCACACAACCUAUCCAGAGCCACAAUUGCUCCCAUAAACCCGCAAAAAACGGGCAUGAUAGAAAUAAAUGAUCUGAUGUUUCAAUCGAACCACACCCUGUGACACAAAGAGCAGUGUCUAACUGUAAGAUGCCUCUUGAUGCCAAAUUUGAUUUCAUCGAUAACCGAUCCCUCAUAAGACGCCAAGCAAAUAUCGACACCUUCAAAGGAACCUGAUGAUGCCAAACCAAAUCCACAGCACUAUCCGUGAUGGAAUUGACAGUCGCUGUUAACACCUCAUAAGCACCUCUAACAGAAUAACCUCCUAUAGGGUCAGGAAGCCAAAUCCAAGAAUCUGAAAUAUCAGUAAACAGAGAAACAUCAAGCAGUAAAGUCCUACACUCCUCUAAGACAAUCUCCUCCCACGCCCACAACCUCCGCCUCCAACUCCACCCCUCCCCUCCCCGCGUCAACCUCAAGGACAACAUGUUAGCUACAAUAGUAUAUUUGUCUACAACUAAAUCGAACAACCUGGGAAAUUGCUCUCUAAGGGGCGCCCCUCCACACCACCAGUGAAACCAAAACAACGUAUCAGAACCAUCACCCACCUUCCUACGCACACUAUCACCAAACCAACUACCCCCUACACCACCAUCACCAUCUCUAAUCCUCCCCACCUCCCUCCACCAAUAAGAACAACUCCGGCCCCCAACCUCCAACCUCGCCAUAACGGGCGACUAGAACAUUAUACCACAACCCUACUCUAUUUACCAACAUCCUCCAACACCAUUUACCUAACAAAGCAAAAUUAAACUCCCUCAACCUCCUAACCCCCAAUCCUCCAGACUCCUUUGGAGAACACAAAGUAUUCCAACCUAUCCAAGUAAUUUUCCGAUGGUCCUCCCCCCCCCCAAAAAAAAAAAAAUUAUUCAACAAAGAUUCAAUGGAAGAGAUUAUACCUGAUGGAGCUUUAAAGAAGGAAAGAGCAUAGACAGGAAAAGAAGUCAGAACUGCUUUCAAAAGGACCAAGCGACCACCGAACGAGAGAAAUCGACUAUUCCAACCUGACAAUCUAGAUUUAAUUCUAUUCACAACAGGGUCCCAAAAUGAAAGACGACACGGAUUACCCCCUAUAGGUAAACCAAGGUACAUGAAAGGAAUCUUGCCCACUUUACAACUUAACACCGAAGCCGCCUCAUUCAACCACGACUCAGAAAUAUUAACACCCACUAACAAGUUUUUAUUAAAAUUAACCUUCAACCCCUACAAGGACUCUAAAAUGACAAGAGUGGCAUGGAGAGCUCGAACAUUAGCCCAGCUUUUCUUCCCUAACAACAGAGUAUCAUCAACAAAUUAUAAAUGAGAAAUAUCCAACGAAUUAACUGUCCCAACAGAAUAACCUGAAAACAAGCGAUUUUCUACCAUAGCUUUCAUCAAAACAUUCAGUCCCUCAGCUGCCAGAAGGAACAAAAAAGGGGACAAAGGGUCCCCUUGACGAAGUCCCCUUUUAAGCGGGAAUUCAUCGGCAGGACUACCAUUAACUAGCACGGAAGCUGUAGCUGUGCCAACACAUUCUCUAAUCCAUUUCCUCCACAUCACAGGAAAUGACAUGCACUUCAUAACCUCAUCAAGGUAACCCCAAUCAACAGAGUCGUAAGCCUUUUCAAAAUCCACUUUAAACAGCAUGAGAUCCUUCUUUAACUUAAAAACUUCAUUAGCUAUCAGAAUACCAUCAAGGAUUUGACGUUUCUUCACAAAAGCCGACUGCGUCUCGGACACAACACUACCAAUAACUACUCUCAGUCUAUUAGCUAAUAAUUUCACAAUAAUUUUGUACAUACUCCCCACCAAUGAAAUCGGACGAAAAUCAUUCAAACGCUGAGGAUUAUCCACUUUCGGAAUAAGAACAAUGAAAGUAGUAUUGAUACCUUUUGCCAACUUACCAUUGCGAUGAAACUCAGACACAAACCGCAUGAUGUCAUCCCUUAACACACUCCAAAACUCCUUAAUAAAACCAAAAUUGACCCCGUCAGGACCCGGACUUUUAAAGAUGUCACAGUCCCAAAUUGCCUCCUUCACUUCGUCAACCGAAAAAGGUUUUAUCAAACUCCCACCCUCAGUCACAGACAGCACCUGAAACCGAAGGUUAGAAACACUAGGCCUCACCACGUUAUGCGCCAUAAAAUGUUGAGCAAAAUGAGUGAAAAUAACAUUUUGAACAGGCCCAACUCUUUCGAUCCGCUCAUCCUCAACCACCACAGAGCAAAUAGUGUUAAAACGUUGACGGGAAAAAAUUUAGAAUUCGCAUCCCCUUCUCGCAACCAAUGGUUUCGCGACUGUUGCCAACAAAUACUGGUAUUAAGCUUGGAAAGGGAAUGAAUCUUCGCCGAAAUACUAUAUAACUCAUCACAUUCACCGUCAGACAGGUCCUCCACUUCCCCUUUCCCAUCCAACACCGCCAUGCGGUCUUUAAGAUGGACUAUUGAUGCAGGUAAAUUACGAGUAUGAGACUCAUGCCAUUCCUUCAGGGCAAGUUUAAUUUGUUUGAACUUUUCUCUUAAAACAAAACCACCCCAUCCAUCAACCUGCAAGGAUUUCCAUUUAUCGGACACGAAUUGAUUGUACCCUGGUAUCUCCGUCCAACAUUUCAGGAAUCUAGACGGCCGAGGUCCCCAAUUUUCCUCAUCCAAAGACAGCACCAACGGACAAUGAUCCGACAAACCUCUUAACUGAGCCACCUGAAUGCAAUUAGGCCACUUCAAACCCCAUUCCUCAGAGAUCAAAAACUGGUCCAAACGACUCAUCGACCUACCAUCCCCUUUGAACCACGUAAAAAUACGGCCAAAUAAAGGUAAAUCUAUCAAAACAUUUGAAGGUGAGAAAAACACAAGAAGGGGGGGGGGGGGGGGGGGGGGNNNNNNNNNNNNNNNNNNNNNNNNNNNNNNNNNNNNNNNNNNNNNNNNNNNNNNNNNNNNNNNNNNNNNNNNNNNNNNNNNNNNNNNNNNNNNNNNNNNNNNNNNNNNNNNNNNNNNNNNNNNNNNNNNNNNNNNNNNNNNNNNNNNNNNNNNNNNNNNNNNNNNNNNNNNNNNNNNNNNNNNNNNNNNNNNNNNNNNNNNNNNNNNNNNNNNNNNNNNNNNNNNNNNNNNNNNNNNNNNNNNNNNNNNNNNNNNNNNUUGAACACUUGAUAUACAAUCAGUGGUGUUCACAAUACAAUGCAAUAAAGACUCUAGACUUAAGAAUUUCUAAGAUAUAUCAAAUCAGUGCAGAAAUUCAAAGUGCUUUUUAGAAUCAAAUUUGGCAGAGUUUUGGCGCUUUUAACUUGUGUUGAUGUCUCUUGCCAAUCUUCAAGUCUUCACUCCUUUAUAUAGAGGUGAGUAGAGAGACGUUGAGAAUUAUAGCACGUCUAAAGAGUCGUUGAGUUCCUUUGAUCAUCCACCAGUAAUCUUUUGCCUGAUUUGGGUGUAGUCCUAUAGAGGAUCAACUUCAAAUUCAUUCCUAUCUUGAAGGAACAAUUCUGCAGGCAGAGCUGUUAUUUUGUCUUGUAGCGAGGACAUGCUCAGGGUCGUGGAGGUAGUGGUUGUACACUUGUACUUUGUCAACUCUUCAAAAAGGUACAAGCACCCAGUGCUUUCCAAAUGAACGUUGGCACUUCCCUUUUGAUCCUUUGCUUUCGUAGACGAGAUUAACUUCAAGAAACAGCUCUUUGAGAUUUCAGAUUGAAUCUCCUGAUCAACUGUUGCUUCUGGUGAUGAUGUAGCUUCUGAUGAAAUCUUGCUUCUGAUGAACUUUACUUCUGAUGAUCUUCUGCUUCUGAUGACGUCAUCACUUCAGAGGCACUUGAAACUUCAGAAGCACUUCAUAGCUUCAGACGCAGUUUUUCUUCAGAUGCUUUAGAUUCCUUUGCUCUCUAUUGUUCUUCCAAGACCUAUUGAAAUUGAUUAACUUUGCCUAUGGUCCUGUACACUUGAACAAAUAUUAGCAAUAACCAAUUGACAAUUUUUAAUACCUUGUUAUCAUCAAAACUCAUUAAGGUUUAUUGUAAAACACAUUUUGUUCCAACAACAUUAUCCUCAAUAAAAGUAUUAAACGGCACAUACUCUGCCGCUCCCCCAUAGUCCAACAACGAUCUUCUUUCCUCCCUACCCCGAACCGCGUUAAAAUCACCGCAAACACAUACCUUCUCCCCUUAUAGUGCCCGAAGUCGAAUAGACAACUCAUCCCACAGAAGUUUCUGAUCACUACCACUACAAGGGGUAUACACAUUAAAAAGAUGAAAUUUCUCAUUAGAAGCUAAAAAGCACCCAUGAAUACUCAACACAUGAUCGAAACUUCCCGAAGACCAAACCUCCACCUCCGAAGUAUCCCACACCGUCAGCAGAACUCCGGACGCCCCCUGAGAUCACCGAAAAGAGAAGGAAACCGACUGACUAUCCCAAAUUGACGAACAAACCCAGUCAUCAUAGUAAUGCAACUUACUUUCUUGCAGACACAAAAUUAAAGGACGCUUUUCCUUUACCAGAUUUCGGACCUCUUUCCUUUUUUUAGGGCCCCCAAGCCCCCGAACAUUCCAAGAUAACAACUUCAUCGCCCACACCCUCCCCACCGCCACCCACUAACUACACAACAUCCUUCUUCAAACCCUUAGCCCUUUCCUCACCACCUGCUACCCUCUUCUUCUUCCCCAUCCCCUUCCUAGCUGAAUAACCAACACUAGAUUAAGUGUGUGUUUGGUAUGGCGGCGGGGAGAAUUGAUUUUGAUAGAAUUGAUUUUGAGAGAAUUGAUUUUGGUUAAAAGUGAGUUGAAUGUGAAUUGAUUUAUGUUUGGAUACACUUUAUUAAAAGUGAUUCAUGUGGGUUGAUGUUGUUUGGAUAGUUUGAAUCAAUAUUGAUUUUGAAUGUAUAAUGACUAAAUUAUCCUUUUAAUUGUAUUUAAAACUCAUUCUCAUUAAAAAAUUAUUUCAAUUUAUCAUACAUGAAUUUUAUUGGUUCCAAAAUUAAUUUUAAAAUAAUAUUAAUUUAUGUUAUUUUUAAUAUAAUUUUUUAUCAAUUGGGUGAUUUUUAAUAAAAUAAUAUAAACAUAAAAAGAUGUAAAACAAAUGACAAAUUACACGAUUGUAAACUAAAAUAUAUUACAAAUAGAUAGAUAAUAGAUAAUAUAAGUUCAAGUGCAAUAUAAUAUUGAAANNNNNNNNNNNNNNNNNNNNNNNNNNNNNNNNNNNNNNNNNNNNNNNNNNNNNNNNNNNNNNNNNNNNNNNNNNNNNNNNNNNNNNNNNNNNNNNNNNNNAAACAAGCAGAAAUUAUUUCCUACUUCUUAUCUAAAUUCUUAAGGAGGAUUCCCUUGUCCUAUCCCAACAAGGAACAAAACCCUAACAAAUUGGUGCUUUCAUUGCUCCUAUUCACCUCCCAUGGCUCCAACAAAUUCUGAGAGAUUAGAUGACCUUGCUGCCAAAGUUGAUACCAUCAUUCAACAAAUCGCCAUUCUCACCACUGCUCCUACUUCCCCUUCACCAACACCACCACCACCACCACCCCAUCCCUUACCACCACGAAUGAAACUCGAUGUUCCCAAGUUCGAUGGUACAGAUGCUAUGGGCUGGAUUUUCAAAAUAAACUAGUUCUUUGAUUUCCACCAAACCCUUGAGGAAGACCGACUCACCGUCGCAUCUUUCUACAUGGAGGGCCAAGCUUUAAGCUGGUAUCAAUGGAUGCAUAGGAACCAGCAAAUCACAUCUUGGUAUGGUUUCCUUCAAGCUUUAGAAACUCGUUUCGCUCCUUCUUAUUACGACGACCCAUCCAGCACGUUGUUCAAACUCACUCAACGCUCUUCCGUGAACCAAUACCUCAAUGAGUUUGAGCGCCUCGCCAAUCGAAUCGUUGGCUUACCACAACCAUUUCUCCUCAGUUGCUUUAUCUCCGGCCUUACACCGGAAAUCCUCCGUGAGGUACAGGCUAUCCGACCAGCUUCACUCUCACAAGCAACAGCACUUGCCAAACUUCAGGAAGACAAAGUGGAAGAUCGCCGUCGCCACUUCAAAGGUAAAAACCAAAACCCUUCAUCUCUUACUGUUAUACCAUCUACUUCAAACCUACCCCCUCUACUACCUGCACCGCCCACUUCCCGUGUUAACUUCAGAAAACUCUCAACCGAAGAAAUGGCCUCAAGAAGAGAAAAGGGGCUUUGUUACAACUGUGACGAAACCUUCACCCCACACCACAAAUGCAAAGGCCGAUUCUUUCUACUCAUUUCUGAUGAAGGCUUUGACACCGACCUACCAAACGACACCAUUUCACCACCUCCUGAACUAGAAAACAACCCCCCCACCAUUAUUACCGAACCAUCAGAACAAGAAGCACAAAUCAGUUUCCACGCCAUCUCCGGCGGCAAUGAUCCAGCAACCAUACGCAUACAAGGCUACAUUUCCAACCACCCUGUCACUGUCCUUAUCGACGGUGGUAGUACCCACAACUUUGUUCAGACUCGGCUAGCUAAAUUCUUAGAGCUGCCUUCACAUCCAACAAAUACUCUGAAAGUUAUGGUUGGGAAUGGAAGCAUAUUGGAAGGUCACCAACUUUGCUCAGCCAUCCCUAUCACCCUACAAAAGGAAACUUUUACCAUAGAUUUCUACUCCCUACCCCUUUGCGGCGCUGACGUCGUCUUAGGUGCUCCCUGGCUACGCUCUAUUGGGCCGGUUCUUAUGGACUACACCGCCCUGACACUAUCCUACAAGCGCGAUAACCAAACCAUCACUCUUACUGGCAACCAAACCAAUGGGCCCAACCCUAUUUCAGCCCAACAACUCAAACGAUGUGUUCAAACCCAUGGAGCAUCCGAAAUGUUCCAUAUCCAAGCCAUAAACCAAACCGCUACCCAAACCCUACCCGACUCAAAACCUCAUCCACUACCAGCUAUUCAAACUCUACUUCAUUGUUUUAACAAUAUAUUCUCAGAACCCACCCACCUCCCACCUUCUAGACCAUCAGAUCACCGCAUCACUCUUCUCCCCAACUCAAACCCUAUCAAUGUACGACCCUACAGAUACCCCUAUUUCCAAAAAAACGAAAUCGAGAAACAGAUCCAGAACAUGCUUGCCUCAAACACCAUCCAACCCAGUCACAGCUCCUUCUCAUCACCGGUAUUGUUAGUAAAGAAAAAGGAUGGAACAUGGCGAUUCUGCGUCGACUACCGCGCUUUGAACAACAUCACUAUCCGUGAUAGAUUUCCAAUGCCAACAAUUGAUGAACUGCUCGAUGAACUGAAUGGCGCCUCUUGGUUUUCAAAGCUCGACCUCCGGCAAGGAUUCCACCAGAUCCGGAUGCAUGAAGAGGAUAUUCCAAAAACUGCGUUCCGUACACAUCAGGGACACUAUGAGUUCAAAGUCAUGCCUUUCGGCCUCUGCAAUGCACCGUCGACAUUCCAGUCAUCCAUGAACAAGCUUUUCAGUCCCUUUCUCCGACGUUUUGUCAUCGUCUUCUUCGACGACAUUUUGGUUUAUAGCAAAACAUUCCAGGAGCACUUACAACACCUUGAACAAGUUUUUAACACCUUGGUCUCUGAUAAUUUCUUUCUGAAACUGUCCAAAUGUCUAUUUGCCCAAAGACAACUGGAGUAUCUGGGCCACAUGGUCUCUCCCGAAGGUGUCUUCCCUGAACCAUCCAAGAUACAAGCCAUCCUUGAUUGGCCUCUGCCCAAAACAGUCACCGAACUCAGAGGGUUUUUGGGACUAACAGGAUUUUACCGGAAAUUUGUUAAGAGCUACGCUACCAUAGCACUCCCGCUCACAUCCCUACUCCGUAAAGACGCCUUCAUCUGGACAGACGAAGCCACUGCUGCCUUCCAAGCCCUCCAACAAGCCAUGACCAACACUCCCACACUAGCAUUACCAGAUUUUACUCAACCCUUCGUGCUGGAAACCGAUGCCUCUGGCCUAGCUAUGGGGGCAGUUCUGAUGCAAAAUUGACACCCCAUUGCCUUUUUAAGCAAACCAUUCUGUCCUCGCUUGCACCGGUCCUCCACAUACGUCCGUGAAUUACAUGCCAUCACCACCGCAGUCAAAAAAUGGCGACAAUAUUUGCUAGGUCAUCCUUUUGUCAUCUUCACAGAUCACCAGAGCCUCAAAGAAUUGCUCACCCAAGUAAUUCAAACACCUGAACAACAAGUCUAUUUGGCUAAACUCAUGGGGUAUGAUUACUCUAUCCAAUACAAAUCUGGCAAAACAAAUGUCGUGGCCGACGCACUCUCCCGCCUUCCAGAGACAACCUCAGGUACGCUUCUUACUCUCUCUAUGCCCCAUUUCACAUUCUUAGAGCACCUCAAACUAGCAUUGGCUGCUAGCGUUCCCUUCAACACCCUACUCACCGAAAUUCAACAAAACCCCCAUUCAAAACCAGACUACAAAAUCCACAAUGGACUCAUACUUUACAAAAACCGAAUUUGGCUCGACCCCUCUCUGCCCUUUCGCCUUUCCAUUCUUGAGGAAUAUCACUCUUCCCCAAUGGGCGGUCACAUGGGAAUAGCCAAAACCUUGGCCCGUUUACAAGCCAAUUUUUGGUGGCCUGGUAUGCUACAGGACAUCAAAACCUUCAUCACCAAAUGCCUCAUUUGUCAACAAAUGAAGUAUGAAACCAAAAAAACCCCCGGUUUACUUCAACCUAUUCCACUUCCAGCAGCUAUUUGGGAAGAUUUAUCUCUGGAUUUCAUCACAGGCUUACCCCCAUCCAACAAAUACACCGCAAUUCUUGUAGUAGUUGAUCGUUUCUCUAAAGGUGUGCACUUAGCCCCCCUCACUCCCAACUACACAGCACACAAUGUAGCCAAUAUCUUCUUCAACACAGUUUGCAAAUUACAUGGCAUCCCUCGAAGCUUAAUUUCAGAUAGAGACCCCCUUUUCAUCAGCAAGUUUUGGCGUGAAUUAUUCUCCCUUUGUGGCACUAAGCUGCGAAUGAGCACUGCGUAUCAUCCGGAGUCCGACGGACAAACCGAGGUAUUCAACCGCGUCCUGGAACAGUAUCUGCGUUCUUUUGUUCACAACAAACCGUCUCAGUGGUCGAAGUUCCUUUCCCUAGCUGAAUGGUCCUACAACACCUCAGUUCACUCAGCAACAGGGUUUUCUCCCUACCAAAUCACUUUCGGGAAAGAGCCACCAUCCAUUCCCCACUAUCUACAAGGAUCAUCCACAAUAGAAGCUGUAGACACAAUGCUGGACUCACGACAACAGUUAAUUACCAAACUCCGUCGUAAUCUGCUCAAGGCACAGGACACAAUGAAAUACUUUGCUGACCAGAAUCGAAGAGCAGUGCAAUUUUAACCGGACCAAUGGGUCUAUGUACGACUCCGUCCUUACCGUCAAAAAAGUCUUUCAGACACUUCCUACACCAAGCUUUCCAAAUGCUUCUAUGGCCCAUUCCGUAUCACUGAAAGGAUUGGUAGUGUAGCAUAUCGCCUCCAAUUACCACCCCAGUUAAAAAUUCAUCCUGUUUUCCAUUGUUCAUUACUCAAGCUUCACCAUGGUCCCAUUCCAACUUCUACUGAUCUUCCUCCAUCAGCCAUUGACAAUCACCCUCUAAUUGAACCACUAGCUAUAAUCAACUACAAAAUGGAUACAUCCACCAGCCCCCCUGCUCCUAUGGCCUUGGUCCAAUGGAAAGGUUUAGCACCUGAAGACACCAGCUGGGAAGACUGGAACUCUAUUCAACAACAUUAUCACCUUGAGGACAAGGUGAUUUUUCCAGACCCAGGCAAUGUUAGCAAAGGCCCUAUUCAGGAUACAACCCAACUANACUAUCUCAAGAACAAUUUAUGUUAAAUCAAUUUUCAGAAAUUAUAUAUUAUGAUCAUUGAGAGUUAGCCUCACCCUUACCUUAAUUGAAGAUCAAACUCUACAAAAUUCCGAAUCUUCCUUCUUGACUUUUCUCCUAGCUUUCUCUUGUUUUCUCCCAAAACUGCUUGUACGUAAAACUAUUUUUCUGACUUCUCCAACUCCUUACUUAACUCCCCCUUAAUUCUAAUUAACUCCACUUAAUUCCUUUAAUUAAAAUAUAACCCUCAAAAUUCCAUACUAAUUCUAUUUCUCUCAUUAUUCUAAUAAAUACCAAAAAUAAAUCAUUUAAUAAAAUAUAACACACCACAACACCAACAAUAAUUAUUUAAAAUCAUAUAAAAGACUCUAAAUAAAUCAUAAUAAAUAAAAUAACGACUAGGGCGUUACAAUCUUCAUUACAAAUUGAGUUUAUUCUUAAGUAUCUGGGGUUACCUAUCGAGAAUGCUCUCAAGGGGGGUAUUUAUAAUAUUUCUUGGGCUUGUCUUUCAGUGACUUAGGGCCCAUGUAACUUGGGCCCUAAGUCACAUUUAGAGCGUUCUAGGUGCUUCUAGAAGCCUUCUGAGGUGGUGCCCUUAGUAGGAUGCAUCUAGGGUUGUUAUGAUCCUUUUGAAGGGCAUUGUGCCCAUAAUUACAUCUUAACAGUCCACAACCCCCAAGCACGAAUCUUGGGACAAGGCAAAGUCAUUAAUUAUGAAGUUGAUAGUUCACAACUCCCCAUUGAUGAUGUUUUUUGUAUUUAAUCUCUUAGUCUAUUCAUUAUGUUUAUGAAAUCUUCUUAUCUUGGAUAUAUACUCACCUACAUUGCGUAUUAGACUCCUAUACCCUUGUUUGGUACAAAUAUUCAAGACGAAGAACUUUAGACGUUGUGAGCUUGAAGUACAACGAGGAGUCUUUCUCGUCAAUCUUUCUUUUCAUUAGAAGUUUAUUUUGGGCCAAUGAUUUGAUUAUGUAACACUAGGGAAUUGGGGUUUUUAUAUUAUUUUCAAACUUUGUUUUGAGAUUCUUAUUUGUUAAGAUAAUGUCACAAUGUUUUGAAAUUAUUUGCGCUGCACUGUUUUUAUUUAAAUUGAAGUGCUUUUGAACGAUGAGAAUGUGACACCCUUGUGGAUUAAAUUUUAUUUGUAUUUUAAAUUAGAAAAAUAAUAGUCAGGGUUAGGGUGUUACAGACAUCAUCAUCCAAAUCUUAUGUUUUGAUAGAUGUGUAAUAACUUUGAUAUGCAUCACCUUCCAAAUCUUAGAUUUGAUAUGCAUCAUCAUGCAAAUCUUAUGCUUUGAUAGGUGUGUAUUAGAUUUCAUAGGUAUCUUCCUCAAAAUCUUAGCUUUGAUAGGCAUCAUCAUGCAAAUCUCAUGCUUUGAUACACGUGUACUAGCUUUGAUAGGCACGCACUAUCUUUGAUUGUCACCAUCAUACAAAUCUUAUGCUUUGAUACGUGUGUAAUAGAUUUGAUAGGCAUCAUCAUCCAAAUCUUAUGCUUUGUUAGGCCUGGUCUAGGUUUGAUAGACAUUCUCAUCCAAAUAUUAUGCUUUGAUAUGUGUGUGCUAUCUUUUAUAGGUAUCAUCAUUCAAAUUCUUCCCAAGUGUCAAGAGUAAUGCGUGCAACAAACUAAGUAUUAUCCAUGCAAUAACUCAGUAUCAUGACUCAUGAGGAAUACAUGCAACAAACCAAAUGUCAAGAGGAAUAUAUGCAACAAGGCAAAUGUUACCCAUGCAAUAAACCAAGUGUCAUGAUAUAAUAUAUGAAAAGUAAUUGUCAUAUUUGCUUUACAAAACUGCUUGAUUUUUUUACUUUCACUGCCUAUGAACUCAUACUUUAUGAACUCUUGCCAAGAUCAAAGACUACAUUGAUCUAAACACAUGUUAUACUCAAGAUAUGUACACGAAAAUUAGUUAAUGAACAUGUAACUAGAUCUUAAUCAAGUAUCAUUCCACAAGUCAUAUUAUAAAAACUCUUGUGAAUUUCAAACUAUGUCAAUGGUUUGAGCUUCUGCCAAUACUUGAACUUCAUUACUACAUUAGAUGUAAAUUACAUAUAAUUUAGUUUACAAAGAAGUGUUCUAGAAUGUUCGUUAAUUAAUGUUAUUAUUAUUACUCAUGUGAUGUCGUAAUGGAGUUUCAAUAGUAUUAUAUUUAAUGUGCUUUUAAUUUAUUAUGCUCAUAUAUUGUGCUCAUCAUUUUCCCGUGCGAAGCACGGUUGCACAAUCUAGUUCUUAUAUCCUUGAUUACAAUGGGUGCUCCAAUCUACCUUUCAUGAUCCACGGUAAUUAACUACCAUUUAAGUUUUUUUUUUUUUAAGUUGUAUAUGUGGAACGGUAGUUAACUACUGCCGAAAAAACUGAACGGUAGUUAACCACCGUUGGAGGCAAAAACGUAUUUUCCAUGUGUGUUUAAGAUAUUUCAUAUGUGUAAAAAGUAAUUUUCAUAAAACAAAGUGUUGUAACUAUGAACUAUUGGGCUUAUUAUUUUUGAACCGUGGGCCUGUUUAGGCUUGUUUUUUGAACCGUGGCCUUUUAAGAUGAUAAAGAAAUUUUGAACAAAAAUGUAAUAGUAAAAUAACAAAAAAACAUAAAAAAACUACAUAAUUUUUUUUGUACAAUAACAAUUAUAAUCUACCAAAAAAUGACAACUAAAUAAUGGUAAAAAUAUUAUACUAUUUUAAUAAUAUAAUAUAUUGUUUUAGUCUAUAUAUGAUAAUAAAUAUAAUAGUAUAUUAUUUUAAUCGUAUCUGUGUUGCGUUUCUGCAUUGCGCCUUUUUUUGGGUUGGUCGCACCAUGCUGCAAUCCCGUAAUUUUUUUACCCUAUUGUUUUGGCCACACCAAAGCAUGAGUCCUAUAUCCGCCCAUGCUUAUGACUAUUAUUACUCCCAUCUUCCCCCAAAUAAGUUCUUUAUGUAUACUCUAUAAAUAUUCAGCCAAAUUUAUAACAUAAGAAUAUUCAGCCAAUAGAUAGAUUUUAGAAUUCUAAUAAUUUUUGUGUAGAUUUGAAUUUAAAUUUAAAUUAAAAUACAAGUUGAGUUGUUAAAGAUAAUUUUGUUAAAAUAAAGUCUAAUUAAAAAGUAGUUAAGUGAUAGUUAACUUUAAAAUUGACUUUAUAUGAUGAUGAUGAUAUAAAUACUUAUUUUUUGAAAGUCUCUCUUGAAUUUAAUGAGUAAACUAAUGACACCGUUCCUAAAAUGAAGUUUAUUGAGACUAUUGAUCCUCUCCAGUCUCCAUCCUUGGAAGGUCCAAAUUUCAAUUCGAUGAUUAACCACAUUCUUGGUUCAAAAAAUAUAUAUAUACAGAUACUUCUUUUUAUUAUUAUACCUUUGAAAUAUAUAUGAAGUAAACUAUGUUUGCAUUGAGAAAUAUAUAUGCCUAAUCAUAUUGAAAAUCAUUUACUACUUGGUAGGGCAUUAUUAACAUUUUUUUUUUAUAAGCAAGGAGAGAGGACAGGCAUCAAGAGACAUCAUCGACAUCCCAACUAAGUUGACACUUUGAUAGACCUCCAUCCUAUGCCGCCAAACUCAAAAUCUUUAAUUAAAAAAGGGCAUUAUUAACAUUCAAAUUAGCAUAUGAUUGGUUUUAUUAACACCCCAUGUGGCUUAUGAAUGUCAGUAAAAUGUCAUGAUUUCUACUAUGAGCAAUGCUAUAUCUCUAGAAAAAUAACAUCAAGAAUUCUUCAAGAAUAAAGAGCAGUCAAUCACAAUGCAUUAUUUGCCACAAUUCAAGGAGAUGUGGCUGAAAACUAGGAAGUGAACGAAUAAACCAUGUAAUUAAAACUUGCCACCCGUAUCUUGAAAAAUUCUUGAUGCUAUUUUUCUAGAGAAAUAAAAUUUUCCUUUCUAACCACGAUUUUACAUUGCCCAGCCUUUUCAGGAAAGAAAUCCCCCAUUUCCUGAAUCUGCAUUUAAAACUAUCAUUACAAAAGGUGGCAUAUAAAUUCUAAAGACAUCCCACUAAGAAUCAGUUAAUGUCAGGAAUUAUGAUUGAAAUAUUUCUAGAGUGAAUUACAAGGAGAAUGUCAAUUUUUUUUAAGUGAAAUAAUAAUUUUUUAAUUUGCUUAAUCAUCUAAAUUCUGGAGGAAGAUGCCUUAAUAAUCAGAAACUUGAACGAAAAAUAAAUAAGAUCUGACAUAAGUUUGUUGUACCAAUGAUUUGAACUUGCAUUUGUUCACAACGAUUAGUUCUUAACUUGAGUUAUAAAUUAACAACAUUUUGAACAAGUAUCCAUUAACAAGUUUAAAAGUUUACACCGGAUAAAAUUAUAAUAAAUCUGUUAGCAAAGGCCCUAUUCAGGAUACAACCCAACUACAGUCUAGGCCCAACAGACUCACCAAAAAGCCAGCUCACCUAAGUGACUAUGUGUGAUGGUUCAAGUGCUAGAAUAAAACUGCAGCUAGCUGGUAAAAGCUUUGCAUAGGAUUCCAAUUAUUGUACUAAGUCUUAUCUUUUACAUUGUUGGCAGUAGGCCGUUAGUGGUUCCCCCUAAUAAGGGCAGCCAUAGGAUCACUUGUGUAAUAGCCAUCAGAUCUAUACUCUAUGGCCAUAUAAACUCAAUUGAGACAUGAAAUAAAACAAGCAGAAAUUAUUUCCUACUUCUUAUCUAAAUUCUUAAGGAGGAUUCCCUUGUCCUAUCCCAACAAGGAACAAAACCCUAACAAAUUGGUGCUUUCAUUGCUCCUAUUCACCUCCCAUGGCUCCAACAAAUUCUGAGAGAUUAGAUGACCUUGCAGCCAAAGUUGAUACCAUCAUUCAACAAAUCGCCAUUCUCACCACUGCUCCUACUUCCCCUUCACCAACACCACCACCACCACCACCCCAUCCCUUACCACCACGAAUGAAACUCGAUGUUCCCAAGUUCGAUGGUACAGAUGCUAUGGGCUGGAUUUUCAAAAUAAACUAGUUCUUUGAUUUCCACCAAACCCUUGAGGAAGACCGACUCACCGUCGCAUCUUUCUACAUGGAGGGCCAAGCUUUAAGCUGGUAUCAAUGGAUGCAUAGGAACCAGCAAAUCACAUCUUGGUAUGGUUUCCUUCAAGCUUUAGAAACUCGUUUCGCUCCUUCUUAUUACGACGACCCAUCCAGCACGUUGUUCAAACUCACUCAACGCUCUUCCGUGAACCAAUACCUCAAUGAGUUUGAGCGCCUCGCCAAUCGAAUCGUUGGCUUACCACAACCAUUUCUCCUCAGUUGCUUUAUCUCCGGCCUUACACCGGAAAUCCGCCGUGAGGUACAGGCUAUCCGACCAGCUUCACUCUCACAAGCAACAGCACUUGCCAAACUUCAGGAAGACAAAGUGGAAGAUCGCCGUCGCCACUUCAAAGGUAAAAACCAAAACCCUUCAUCUCUUACUGUUAUACCAUCUACUUCAAACCUACCCCCUCUACUACCUGCACCGCCCACUUCCCGUGUUAACUUCAGAAAACUCUCAACCGAAGAAAUGGCCUCAAGAAGAGAAAAGGGGCUUUGUUACAACUGUGACGAAACCUUCACCCCACACCACAAAUGCAAAGGCCGAUUCUUUCUACUCAUUUCUGAUGAAGGCUUUGACACCGACCUACCAAACGACACCAUUUCACCACCUCCUGAACUAGAAAACAACCCCCCCACCAUUAUUACCGAACCAUCAGAACAAGAAGCACAAAUCAGUUUCCACGCCAUCUCCGGCGGCAAUGAUCCAGCAACCAUACGCAUACAAGGCUACAUUUCCAACCACCCUGUCACUGUCCUUAUCGACGGUGGUAGUACCCACAACUUUGUUCAGACUCGGCUAGCUAAAUUCUUAGAGCUGCCUUCACAUCCAACAAAUACUCUGAAAGUUAUGGUUGGGAAUGGAAGCAUAUUGGAAGGUCACCAACUUUGCUCAGCCAUCCCUAUCACCCUACAAAAGGAAACUUUUACCAUAGAUUUCUACUCCCUACCCCUUUGCGGCGCUGACGUCGUCUUAGGUGCUCCCUGGCUACGCUCUAUUGGGCCGGUUCUUAUGGACUACACCGCCCUGACACUAUCCUACAAGCGCGAUAACCAAACCAUCACUCUUACUGGCAACCAAACCAAUGGGCCCAACCCUAUUUCAGCCCAACAACUCAAACGAUGUGUUCAAACCCAUGGAGCAUCCGAAAUGUUCCAUAUCCAAGCCAUAAACCAAACCGCUACCCAAACCCUACCCGACUCAAAACCUCAUCCACUACCAGCUAUUCAAACUCUACUUCAUUGUUUUAACAAUAUAUUCUCAGAACCCACCCACCUCCCACCUUCUAGACCAUCAGAUCACCGCAUCACUCUUCUCCCCAACUCAAACCCUAUCAAUGUACGACCCUACAGAUACCCCUAUUUCCAAAAAAACGAAAUCGAGAAACAGAUCCAGAACAUGCUUGCCUCAAACACCAUCCAACCCAGUCACAGCUCCUUCUCAUCACCGGUAUUGUUAGUAAAGAAAAAGGAUGGAACAUGGCGAUUCUGCGUCGACUACCGCGCUUUGAACAACAUCACUAUCCGUGAUAGAUUUCCAAUGCCAACAAUUGAUGAACUGCUCGAUGAACUGAAUGGCGCCUCUUGGUUUUCAAAGCUCGACCUCCGGCAAGGAUUCCACCAGAUCCGGAUGCAUGAAGAGGAUAUUCCAAAAACUGCGUUCCGUACACAUCAGGGACACUAUGAGUUCAAAGUCAUGCCUUUCGGCCUCUGCAAUGCACCGUCGACAUUCCAGUCAUCCAUGAACAAGCUUUUCAGUCCCUUUCUCCGACGUUUUGUCAUCGUCUUCUUCGACGACAUUUUGGUUUAUAGCAAAACAUUCCAGGAGCACUUACAACACCUUGAACAAGUUUUUAACACCUUGGUCUCUGAUAAUUUCUUUCUGAAACUGUCCAAAUGUCUAUUUGCCCAAAGACAACUGGAGUAUCUGGGCCACAUGGUCUCUCCCGAAGGUGUCUUCCCUGAACCAUCCAAGAUACAAGCCAUCCUUGAUUGGCCUCUGCCCAAAACAGUCACUGAACUCAGAGGGUUUUUGGGACUAACAGGAUUUUACCGGAAAUUUGUUAAGAGCUACGCUACCAUAGCACUCCCGCUCACAUCCCUACUCCGUAAAGACGCCUUCAUCUGGACAGACGAAGCCACUGCUGCCUUCCAAGCCCUCCAACAAGCCAUGACCAACACUCCCACACUAGCAUUACCAGAUUUUACUCAACCCUUCGUGCUGGAAACCGAUGCCUCUGGCCUAGCUAUGGGGGCAGUUCUGAUGCAAAAUUCACACCCUAUUGCCUUUUUCAGCAAACCAUUCUGUCAUCGCUUGCGCCGGUCCUCCACAUACGUCCGUGAAUUACAUGCCAUCACCACCGCAGUCAAAAAAAUGGCGACAAUAUUUGCUAGGUCAUCCUUUUGUCAUCUUCACAGAUCACCAGAGCCUCAAAGAAUUGCUCACCCAAGUAAUUCAAACACCUGAACAACAAGUCUAUUUGGCUAAACUCAUGGGGUAUGAUUACUCUAUCCAAUACAAAUCUGGCAAAACAAAUGUCGUGGCCGACGCACUCUCCCGCCUUCCAGAGACAACCUCAGGUACGCUUCUUACUCUCUCUAUGCCCCAUUUCACAUUCUUAGAGCACCUCAAACUAGCAUUGGCUGCUAGCGUUCCCUUCAACACCCUACUCACCGAAAUUCAACAAAACCCCCAUUCAAAACCAGACUACAAAAUCCACAAUGGACUCAUACUUUACAAAAACCGAAUUUGGCUCGACCCCUCUCUGCCCUUUCGCCUUUCCAUUCUUGAGGAAUAUCACGCUUCCCCAAUGGGCGGUCACAUGGGAAUAGCCAAAACCUUGGCCCGUUUACAAGCCAAUUUUUGGUGGCCUGGUAUGCUACAGGACAUCAAAACCUUCAUCACCAAAUGCCUCAUUUGUCAACAAAUGAAGUAUGAAACCAAAAAAACCCCCGGUUUACUUCAACCUAUUCCACUUCCAGCAGCUAUUUGGGAAGAUUUAUCUCUGGAUUUCAUCACAGGCUUACCCCCAUCCAACAAAUACACCGCAAUUCUUGUAGUAGUUGAUCGUUUCUCUAAAGGUGUGCACUUAGCCCCCCUCACUCCCAACUACACAGCACACAAUGUAGCCAAUAUCUUCUUCAACACAGUUUGCAAAUUACAUGGCAUCCCUCGAAGCUUAAUUUCAGAUAGAGACCCCCUUUUCAUCAGCAAGUUUUGGCGUGAAUUAUUCUCCCUUUGUGGCACUAAGCUGCGAAUGAGCACUGCGUAUCAUCCGGAGUCCGACGGACAAACCGAGGUAUUCAACCGCGUCCUGGAACAGUAUCUGCGUUCUUUUGUUCACAACAAACCGUCUCAGUGGUCGAAGUUCCUUUCCCUAGCUGAAUGGUCCUACAACACCUCAGUUCACUCAGCAACAGGGUUUUCUCCCUACCAAAUCACUUUCGGGAAAGAGCCACCAUCCAUUCCCCACUAUCUACAAGGAUCAUCCACAAUAGAAGUUGUAGACACAAUGCUGGACUCACGACAACAGUUAAUUACCAAACUCCGUCGUAAUCUGCUCAAGGCACAGGACACAAUGAAAUACUUUGCUGACCAGAAUCGAAGAGCAGUGCAAUUUGAACCGGACCAAUGGGUCUAUGUACGACUCCGUCCUUACCGUCAAAAAGGUCUUUCAGACACUUCCUACACCAAGCUUUCCAAACGCUUCUAUGGCCCAUUCCGUAUCACUGAAAGGAUUGGUAGUGUAGCAUAUCGCCUCCAAUUACCACCCCAGUCAAAAAUUCAUCCUGUUUUCCAUUGUUCAUUACUCAAGCUUCACCAUGGUCCCAUUCCGACUUCUACUGAUCUUCCUCCAUCAGCCAUUGACAAUCACCCUCUAAUUGAACCAAUAGCUAUACUCAACUACAAAAUGGAUACAUCCACCAGCCCCCCUGCUCCUAUGGCCUUGGUCCAAUGGAAAGGUUUAGCACCUGAAGACACCAGCUGGGAAGACUGGAACUCUAUUCAACAACAUUAUCACCUUGAGGACAAGGUGAUUUUUCCAGACCCAGGCAAUGUUAGCAAAGGCCCUAUUCAGGAUACAACCCAACUAUAGUCUAGGCCCAACAGACUCACCAAAAAGCCAGCUCACCUAAGUGACUAUGUGUGAUGGUUCAAGUGCUAGAAUAAAACUGCAGCUAGCUGGUAAAAGCUUUGCAUAGGAUUCCAAUUAUUGUACUAAGUCUUAUCUUUUACAUUGUUGGCAGUAGGCCGUUAGUGGUUCCCCCUAAUAAGGGCAGCCAUAGGAUCACUUGUGUAAUAGCCAUCAGAUCUAUACUCUAUGGCCAUAUAAACUCAAUUGAGACAUGAAAUAAAACAAGCAGAAAUUAUUUCCUACUUCUUAUCUAAAUUCUUAAGGAGGAUUCCCUUGUCCUAUCCCAACAAGGAACAAAACCCUAACAAAAUCAUGUGUAUAUAUACUCCCUCUGAUCAUAUUUAUAAGAAAAAAAACAACUUUUGUGGUACAUUGAAUAACCAAUGUAUCUGACAUAUAAAUGUGACAAGAUACAUUAAUUAUUUAAUGAAUAUUUUAAAAAUUUGUUUUUUGCUUAUAAAUAUGAUCGGAAGGAGUACAAGUUUAAAAAUAGUUAUGAUUAAAGUUAAAUGAUUAUAAUAAUAUGAAGAUUAUGAUUGUCAUUCAAAAAAAUACAUAUACGAGGAUUACAAUUGAUCGACGGUGUAAAAAAUAAUUACACUACGAAUAUCACUCUUAACCUAAGAUGUUCUUGUGUUUGGAUGGACAAUAGAAAAACAUACAUACGUGGACUUGACUUAUGUUUCCUAGUUGUGGAAUUGGGGACUAAGACUUUUACUGUGACACAUGCAGCCUUCAAAAUCUCUUUUAUUAAAAUGGCCAAAUAUAAUAUUUAACGUACUUUCAUAUCAUUUGUGUUUGACAUUUUUGACUUCCUAACAACAAAGACUAUUGAUCUUCUACAAAAAAGCUCAAAGGAUGAUACAUAACAAUGUUGUGUCUUAUAAAUCCAUAAAAGUUGUGUUUUUGGAUGAUAAGUUUUGUCAUCCAAAGAUGAUUAACCUAACAAUUUUUUGCUCUAUUUUCCUUUCAUACUAGUAACGUAUAAAUAAAUCCCUACAAUAUAUGCCAAAAAACUAUGACAUGUAAAUAAAUUAUAAAUAUAUAUGGUUAUUUUUGUGCAAGUCAUUCAAUUGUGUCUAAAGAAAGAUGAAUGUUAAAUCCACUCAUAAAGGGUAAACAAAGGUGUGGCUUUGAUUGGUGCUCAAAGAUUUAAUAAAAGGGUAUGGGAAAGACACCUUCGUUUAGGGAGCAAGUAAAAGAAAAAGGCAUAAAAAAGGGGUUUCAUCCACUCAUAAAGGGUAAAGAAAGGUGUAACUUUGUUAUUUCUUUGUUUUCAUGUCUACCACAAAGGGAUACAGCAGACCCUAGCUUGUAUAUAUAAUGAUGAUGAAUUUGCAGUACGUGUGUAUCUCUCAAUCUCUCAAUAUAUAUAUAUAUAUAUAUAUAUAUAUAUAUAUGAGGGGGAUAUUUUAACUCGAAGAGUAAGUUUGUUCACUUACUCCAAAUCUUAGUCUUUAAUUGUAUUUUCAAUUAAUGGUUUGAAUUGAUUAAUAAUAAGUGGUAUGGUAGGCUAUAAUUUUCUUCUCUAUUAAAAUUAACUCUCAUCACCCUAAAAUGGCAAAACAUUCAAUGACUUGAAUUGAUUUUUUUUUAUUCUUUUCCCUUUGCUUUUUUUCUACACGCAUGAUAAACUGCAUAGUUUUUCUUUUUGAAGGAAAAAAAUUGUAUUUUUUUAAAGGAAAAAGAAAAACUAUAUAGAGAGAGGGGGGAUACAUACACGUCCUUAGUGCUAAUAAUUUAAAAUAAAUUAAUUAAUAAAAUGUAGUUGUAUGUAUUAAUAUCAUAUCGUAAACACACAUGUUUCUGAUAAUCCUACAAUUUUUAGUGAAGAAAACAUGUGAUAUUUAUUUUUUAUUUUUUAUAUAAUGAAGAAAGCAAACAAUAUAUGUCCUCUCAUCCAUAUGUGGUAGUUUUUUUUUCCCUCUGCACAACUAUAUGCAACUUUAUUUUUCGUUUUCCUUACAGAAAAAUAUACAAUUUUUUUUUGCUAAAAAAAUAUAAUUUUUUUCCUUCAAAAAGAAAGACCAAGCAGUUUAUUAUGCGUGUAAAAAAAAAUGCAAAGAGAGAACAAUAAAAAAACAAUUCAUUCAAAGUCAUUUGUUUUGCCAUUUUGGGGUAACGAGAGUUAACUCGAAUAGAGAAGAAAAUUAUAGUCUACCAUACCAUUUAUUAUUAAUCAAUCUAAACCUUUAAUUGACAAUACAAUUAAAAGUCAAGAUUUGAAGUAAGCAAACAAACUUACCCCCCUAUCUCUCUCUCUCUAUAUAUAUAUAUAUAUAUAUAUAUAUAUUCUUGCAUAAUAUGAAAAUAAACAUACAAAUAUAUUCUAAUAAAAAUAAAAUUAAAAGAACAAUAUUUUUAUUUAGAACUUCACAAGAAUUUAUUUAUUUAACAAGUAGGGUGUUUUUUUGAAAGAAAAAAAAUUAGAGAAAUGAGAAAUUUUUAUUAAUUAAAAUAAUAUUAACAAUUGUUGAACUAAAGUGGGUUUUAGAACAAUGUCUCUAAUGUUUUAAUGAUAACAAUGUAUGAAAGAACAAUUGAAUACUUAAUGUGUGUUGAAGUGUGCAGGACCAUAAAAUUAAAUUCUGAAUUCAAAGUCAAGUUUUGGUUCUGAUACAUCAAGUUCCGAACAGAUAAAAUCAUAUUGGUACUCAAGAGAAACUAGGAAGACUUUGAAGAUAGAGAAGAUGAUCUGAAGAAAUGUCAACAAAAAGUCAAAGCUCUAAUUAGAAGUUUUAUCAAGCCUCGAAGGAGACGUCAGCAGACAACACUCUAAAGAGACUCUGACCACUUUUGUCUUCUUCUAAAGAAACAUCGUUGUCAAAUUCUAAUUGUAUUGUUUGUUUUCUUAUGAAAUUACGCCAAAACAAACAAAGAACUUCAAUGACAAAUAGAAUAUAAUGGAUCAUUCUCAAAGAAGCAAAUGACCCCUCUUAUACUAUUCAAAUAUAUUAUCCAAUUCAAAUAUAUUAUCCAUUAGAUGCAAAGUUUUGAGAUUGAUCAAAGCUUCACAAGGACGCUUUUGACGCGCUGGCUUUCUUCAAACAACGACUCUCUCUUUCCCUCUACCUCCCCCCCGCUCUCUCUCUCUCUCUCUCUCUCUCUAUCUAUCUCUCUAUCUCUCUCUCACACACACAGAGACAGACACACACACACACACACACACACAAAUCUGAGCAAUUUGAAAAUCUUAAGGGACUUCAUAAAAUUUACAAAUGGCAAAACUUUGUGUAAAUCAAAAGCUCAUAAACGUUUAGAAAAUUCUUACAAACUUUAUAUUUUAGGAUUUCUUAGUGUCAGAAGUUACUUGAACUUUAAUUUUUGUUUACCAGUCUCUAAGUAUAAAGUGUAAACACAAUCAAACUUAUUUGAUAAACUCUUAUUGCAGAAGUCCUCUUAUGCGAGACAAUAAAAUCUUAGAUUUGUGUGUCUAAGUAACUGUAAUCUUGUGUGAUUAUAUAAAAAGAAUCCCUUAAAAGUACAACAAGACUUGACUAACCUCAGAUUGUGGGGUGAACUAGGACAAUAUGCUUGCUUGUUUUGUCUCUCUUCCCUCUCUUCGGUUAUUUUGCUUGCUUUGUUUUUUUAACCAUAUUAAAAAGAUUUUAAGAAAAAACCAACACAAUUCAACCUCCUUUUGUGUAUUUUUCUCACCAUCAAUAGUCAUUUUAGGAUUGUCCUUAAUAAAAUUUGAACGUAAAGUUCUUACUUCUUAGCAUUGAUACACAUAUUUUAACAAAAAAAAUGUUAUCUUGAUAUACAUGUUUUUUUUUUUUUAAUUAUAGUUGGAUGUUGAUUCAACUUUUUUAUUGCUAUUCUAAAACUUAAAUAUUCUUGUCAAAAAAAAAAAAAACUUAAAUAUUAUCACAAACCGUUAACAGUUCAAAUAAAAUAUGUUGUAAAAGUUUAACGCGAAACCAAUAAUUUUAUUUUAUUUUUUAUUUUAUCUAAAAUGUACCAUUUCAUCAACCAAUAAAUAAAUAAACGUCCAAACAUAUUUUAUCAUAAUUUUGUGUUAUAAUAUCAGGUUAUUUUUAAAUUUCAAUAUAUAAUUACGAAUAUGUACAUGGUAAGUAUAAUUGAUUGUCUAUGCAAUAUUUUUUGUUAUAUAAGUUCAAAGUAAUUAAAUUCGUGAAUUUUUUCUUAGUCUUUUUUUUUUAUAGAAAAUUUCCUUGUCCUUCACAUAUAUGAAAUGUAGGAUUUAGAUUCUAUGCAGCAAAAGUAUAUAAUUAAUAAGACAAGCUUGUCCGUCGAAAAAAUCAUGUGGUUAGAAUAAAGGAAAUAUUUUGUUGGACACCUAAUGCUAUUCUACUCCAAGAGAUAGAGGGUAUAAGAGAGAGAAGUGAUGAAUGUAAUGAAGAGAGAUAUAGAGAGAAUAAAGAAUGUUAAAUGAUUUUUUGUACAAGCUCUAUCCACUGGGUUAUUAGAUCGGAAAAAAAAGAGAGAAUAUAGGUGUUAAAUGAAUGUAAAUUGUUGUAGUAUUAAAAAAUCAUCACUCAAAAGAGAUUAUCGACCACAUACAAUUUGGAUCCAUAUAAUGAACAGUUUCAAGACAAAAAUCUACAAAAAGAAAAUAAUCUCCUAAAGCAAUAUUGAUUUUCACUUUAGGAAAACAUUUCAUGCAUGCAUGGACAUGCAUCCAUAUACACUCAAAUAAAUACUUGUUAAACCUUAAAACCUAACUAAAGUGUUAGAAUGAGAGUUAAGAAGUUACAUUAAGAUGCUAUAUAUGAAAAUCACCAGACAAAACACUAACCAAAUGAGGAAAAAAAUGAAGAAGAUUGGGUUGAGCAUAUGAUGUAACGAAGUUGAGGGACCUUAGCUCAAAACUUUAAACAAAAGGGAGAUAUUAUAUACUUUUGUGUGUACCAGAAUUUCUUUCAAAGAUAUGCAGUACAAAAGGGUUUUUCCCAGAGAUAACAUAAAGACAUCCCAUACAUAACAUAUUAACUUUUAGGGUAAGGUACAAGAGCACUCUAAUUCCUUGUGAUCUUGACUUUCAUUUUUGUGUCCUUUUAAUUUUCAGGGUUCAAACAAGGACAAUCAUAGCAUCUACGUAUACAUGUAUUCAUUCAUUGCAACUAUAAUAAAACACCAAUUUUUUUUUUUUGUUUUUAUUCUAUAUGAAGAAAAUGUAAUACUCCACCAUAGGAAAAGCGAAGCGUGUUUUUUUUUUUUUUUUUUGAACAAAUCAAAAUGGAAUAUAUUGCUCAAAAGAAAAGUGAUUCACCCAGCACAAGGUGUGCUAAAAACGAUGAAUCACUCAAAGUCUGAUACAGAAACUAAGUGACUGACACAAGCACAUGUCACCGUCAACUAAAAAAUAAAUAAAAUUAGACAGCCCCUAUACAAAGAAGUGGGUGCCACCACCAAUCAUGAAAACCAAACGCCAUUGUUACAGAAUUUGACGAAAGCCAUAAAAAAGAAUUCAACUUCACCUUUUCGACAAUAUUGACGAAGCGUGUUGUUAACUUGUUAUUGACUACUAUGUACUUUGCCCUUUAGGGCCUCUCAUUUCGUUUUACAUAUAAGGAUCUUUUGUCAUCUCACUAUUGUAUUUUAGUGUUUUCUAUUAAUAUUUUCAUUAUUUUAUCAAUUUAAAUUUACAUUCAAACGAUUAAUGAUUUUAUGUAAAUUUUGAAUGUGUGGGUGGCAGCUAACGUCGAUAAAAAAUGGAUCCCUGAAAAAACGAUAAAAAAUGGUACAAAAUUUACGUAGUGUUUUCAAAAUUUUAUGUAAGGAUCACUACUGACAAGACGGAUUAUAAGGCGAUAUGGUAUUACCCACACCUAGUAGCAAGGCAAUUUAGUCUAAGCCAACUCCAUCCAGCCUCUAUAGCCAUGAUUCUUAAGUCAAUUUAUGAUGAUGAUUUUGACGAGAUGUGAGAGGCUCAGAUUUUGACGAGAUGUGAGAGGCUCAAUAUCAAUAAUGUCUUCUGUAACGCUCUAUUUUUAUUAAAGCAAUAAUACAAACGAAUAAUGCAUUUAUUUAAAAAAUAGACGCUACGUCUUCACAUCAAAAUUCAAACAACAUGCAUAUAUAAAUCAUAAUUCUCUAAAAUAUACAAGUCAUAAGAUCAAUAUACAUCAUCAUAUAAAAUCUCUAAAUCCCGACAUAUUGGCAAAAUCUCAACAACAUAAACAAAUCUAGAAUAAUCAUAAAGAUAGACAUCCUAGAUCAGAGCCUAUCCUAAGACUCAAAAGAAAACGAUAACGGAGAUAGCUCCCGCUAUCCAAGCAAUCACCAAGCAACUCACCAAAAACAAACUAAUUCUGCACUUCGUCAACCCAUUUAUACAAACAGGUAGGCGGUCAAAACCACUAGGGGUUAGCUUCACAUCAAUCAUAAUCAACAUAAACAUUCAAGGAUUUCAUGCAUAACACAUAUACAUACCCAUCCCUCCUAGAAUACUAACAUCACAUGAUUAUUAUCCCCCAUUCCAUACACCUUAAGCUAUCACAUUAAUAACAUAGCAUAGCAAGCAUAUGCAAUCUCUAAACAAGUCAUCGACAUAAGCUCAUCAUUUAUCAACAUCAAUCAAUGAAAGGAUUACUCACCUUAUUCUUCCCUUAGCAUACUUAACUCAACAAGUACAAUUCGUCAUUUCAAAGUUAUAAGCAAGCAAUUAUUAUUAUCAAGGAAAUCACUACAUCAUAUAUAUAUAUAUAUAUAUAUAUAUAUAUAUAUAUAUAUAUAUAUAUAUUUAUAUAUAUAAUUCUCACCUCAUUACUAUUACCAAAAUAAUUAUCAUCAAAUAGAUUCACCAAGUGUAUAAGCACAAAUAAGUAAGACAUGAAAUUAGAGCAUAGUUCAAUUAUUUACAACCAUCAACAAAGUCCACCAAUGUACAUAUACACCAAUCCACAUAGAUCACAACAUUCAACAAAUUUCACCAAUGCACAAAUUCACCAAGUCACAUAUUCAAUUAUGACACAAUUCAUCAACCAUUCAAAUCCAAUGUCACAAAUAUGUAUUCAUCAAACACACUUAUCAUCAAACAAUCAUCAUUCACAUAUAAACAGUUAAGACUCAUGCCAAUUAUGCUAUGCGCCUAUUCCCGACACAUAUAUGCAUGUGGUAUCAAAUCACCUCAAGGUCGUCACCCAUGAUGCAACAAAAACAUCAUAUGUAAGAUUUCACGCCCGUCUUACAUUAUCGCCGAAGUAAAAGAGUAACCCUCUUUUACAACAUCAAGACUCAACAUGACUAUGAUGCAUGGACAUACAAGCAAAGAUUCGACAAUGCAAAAUCACCUCAUAAUAUUCAACAACAAUAUAAAGGAUAACCUCCAUUUAUAUUGAUCACCUCAACAACAAUUGCAUUAUCAAGUAUUUACGUCCACACAAUCAAUCAAGUCAUAAAUCAAUUGAGAGUCAUCACCACAUCAUCAUCAAUCAUUUAGCAUAUAUGCAAUCACCAACAAAAUCACCAUCACUUAACAUAUAUGCAUUCACCGACAAUAUCACAAUCAAUUAACAUAUAUGUAUUCACCAACAUUAUCAUAAUCAAUCAACAUAUAUGUACUCACCAACCAUAUCACAAUCAAUCAACAUAUAUUCACCUACAUCAACUUUAUCAUAUAAUUCAACAACAUCACACUAUUUCUCACAAUCCAAAUAAAGGAGAAAAUACUUCACAUUAUGAUAAACAUUAUAUUCAACACCUAGCAAUCAUCCACAUAUCUUCAUAUAAUCAUAACAAACUAUCCACAAAAUAUUUGCAAAGUAUUUGGUCUUAAAGAUUAUUUCCGACAAAGUUCGUCUCUCAUUUUACAACUUUAAAACAGAGCUUUAGAAAGUUCAUUUACAUUUAACUACAUCAAGCAAUCAAUUUUGGAAUGGUCCGGAUCGACCCAAAACCCUAAAAACGAAAAAAUAUGAGCUACUGCACCGUACAACUCGCCAUGGCCACUAAAUCACUCGCCAUGGCGAGUUGACACAGGAGGCACUUCCAACUCGCCUCUAGCUCGCCUCCAACUCGCCAUGGCGAGUUGUGACAUGUUGUAGAAAUUCUGCUCUCGGGAAAACUCCAUUUUUCACUCUAAAAUUCCAAUUUUGACUUCCCAAUGCCCAAAUUUGAUCCUAAGGUUUGUCUACACGUUUCUAAACAUGAAAAGACACUCAAAUCCAUAUAAAAUCUAGAACCAAACAUCAUUUCAACAAAAAUCACCAUUUGACCCAUUUUUCAUGAAAACCUUCAAGAACAACACAAAUUCACUUCAAGCUCUAUGGUUGAGAUUACCCAAGGUUUCAAUCAUCAACAAUAACUACUCACAAUCACAACAACAACAAUCAGAAGUGAAUUCAUCAGCAAUUCAUCAACAACAACAUUAUACUUCACCAAUUUUGAGCAAAAACACAAGUAUACAUAUAUACAUAACUUGAGCAUGUAAAUUCAUCAUCGAGAACUUAAUUAACAUCAAAUUCACAUACCCAAACAUUACAUCAAAGCAUAAGCACGAAUUUCAUAAUAAUCAUUUUAUACAAAUAAGCACUUAUGCAUAGAAUUAGGGUGGAAGCUACAACUAAGUGAUUAUGAUUGAAAUCUAACCCCCUUACCUCAAUAAGCAAUAAUCCUUGCAAAAGCUUCAAUUUAGCUCCUAGAAUCUCUAUCACCUCUUGGUUCUUCAAGCUUUCUCCCUUCUAACCCUUUUGCUCAUUCUCUUGAACUUUCUCUCUCUACCUCUCUCAAAAUUCUUACGAAAUGAAAUGAAAACCUAUAUUUUCCUAAAGACAAGAGUUUAUACAGGCUCCUAACAAUUGGGCUUAACCCUUAAUGCCUUAACGGGCUUAACCUGUAACGCCCUAGUCGUUAAUUUAUUUAUUUUGGAUUUAUUUAGAGUCUUUUAUGUGAUUUUAAAUAAUAUUUGUGUUUUAUGUGGUAUGUUAUAUUUUAUUAUAUAGUUUAUUUUAAUAAUAAUUAGAAUAAGUGGGAAAUUGAUAUUAUUUUGGAGUUUGGGGAGUUAAUAAGAAUUAAGGGAGUUUAAUGAAAUAUAGGGAAGUUACAUUUUGGGAGUUAAGAAAAGAGAAUAUCAGAAAAACGUUUUUACGUGAAAAUCAACUUUUGGGAGAAAAGGGAGAGAAGAGCAAGUAGAGCCAAGAACCGAUUUUUCUGUGCAUUUCUUUCUACAAAUCUAAGGUAAGGGUGAGGUUUGCUUCAUUAGUAUAGUUACUGAAUUCUGAAUUUGAUUUUAACAGGUUUAUGUGUGAAUUGGGAUUUUUAGGGUUUAGGUUGAAUUAUGAGUUUUUGAAUGAAUUGAGUGUAGAGGUUGAUGUUUUGGGGUUAGAAAUGGGUUUUGAGUGUGUAUAGCAUUUUAUUUCAUAUCUGUAAACUGAUUUGGGGAGUGAAUUGGAGGAAAAUGGGAUUUUUGGGAAAAACCUGCAUUCUACCCGUGCUGACAUUCAUCGCUCGCCCCGCGAGUAUUCUUGUCUCGCCUCGCGAGUGAGAAAUGUUCUUAGCUCGCCCCACGAGCAAGCCAACUCGCCAUGGCGAGUACCCGUGAGCAAAACAUGAUUUUUAGAUUAUUGUUAUAAGGUGUAAAAUGGAUUGUUUUAAGUACCUAGAUGAUUUUAAAUGAAGAUUUAGUGAGAAAAAUAUCAAAACUCCCGUGAGCAGCCUUUUUCUGUUCGCCUUGAACUCGCCACGGCGAGUGCCCCUUGUCCUGAGUUCGCCAUAGCGAGCAGAUGUGCUCGCGAGGCGAGUUGCCCAGUAUUUGAGUUGUUGGUUCUAUUUUGAUGAAUGUUGAUUGAUAUUGAUGUCCAACCAUGACUCUUAUAAAUGGUGUAUUUUCUAGGAUGAAUGGAUUACUUAGGUUGAUUUGUUGAUGACUGUAAUGUAUGUUGUAUUAUUUAAAUCAUACAUGUUGUUUGAAUUGCGGUGUUGUGAGUCAUAUGAAAACAUAUGCAAUGUUAAGUUGUAUGUAGAUAUACACAAGUAGGUUAGUUGCAUAAGCAUAAUAAGCGGGAGGGCUUCUGCUCUAGAACGCCUUGUCGUUCAAAGAGGUGGAACACUUGUUGUUCAAAGCGGUGAGGACUCAUGUCCUGAAAAAAAUGAAUGCUUUAACCAUUCUAAUAGCGGUGAGGGCUCUGGUCCUGAAUUUGGUACCACAUGCAUUGUAGAGGAGUCUUAGUGGAGUUGUGGAGUAUUGCAUGAGUCGAUGUUGUUGGUUUUAAUUAUCAUUUGUUGUUGAUGUUGAUAAUGAUGAUAUUUAUAUAUGUUGAUGAAUUAUUAUUAUGAUAGGGUGUUAGAUUCAAUUGAUGCAUUCAUUAUCUAUAUUUAUUGUUGUUAAUCUCACCCUUUCUGCUUGAAAAUGUUGCCCUUCAUAUGGGUAACUUGCAGGUGAUCCUGAGUAGUAGGUGGUGGCUCAAAGUUUCUAGUGCUCUGAUACGUGGGAUGGGAUUUUAAUGUUACCUUCAUUCCUAUGUAUCAAUUUUUGAAUAUUGCUGAUGUAGACCUAUGGUUGUUGAAUUUAUGUUGAUAAUGCUUUGAUGCUAAGAUUUAAUUAUGGAGAUUUAAAAAGUUGCUGUUGUUGUUUUGAUGCAAAUUUUCCGCCGCAAAAUUAAUGAUGAUUUUGAAGGAUGUUUAUUAAAUAGAAUUUAUAUUCUAUUUAAGAAAUUUUGAAAAUGUAGUGUGACAUGCCCGUUUGGGAACUACUCUGAUGCAUGUUUAUUUAUUAAUUAAUUGAUUUUGGGAAACGGGGUGUUACAUAACCCAUUUAUGGGUAGUUUCAUGGGUUUUCAUGGGUGCAUUUUCAUGGGUUUAUUUAUUAAUUUACUUCAAAGUGUCUAUGGGUGCAUUUUCAUGGGUUUAUUUAUUAAUUACCAACUAUGUUUAUUUAUUAAUUUACUUCAAAGUGUCUAUGUGGUUGGAUGAGUUAAACUUGAUGGAAUUUCUGUUUUAAUGUUAUGGUUACAUUAGUCGAGUCGAUUUGGAAGAAAACGGGAGUUUCGUUUGAAAAUUCAUUUGUUAACCGUUUUGGAAAAUGAGUGUUUGUGUGAGGUUUGUAAAAUGAAUUUGAGGUUGUUGAAACGGUGAUUUUUCUGUGCAUUAUGAUAGUGCUAAGUGUUAGGAGCAUGUAGGCGAAAACGACAUCGAAAACGGAUUAACGGUUUGAUUUUUAUGCGCGAAAACGUAGAAGUUGAAAAUCUGAUGUUGUCUGUCAAACCACAAUCGUGCCACGAUUUGGGGCCAACGUGCCACGAUUUUGACCAGGUUUUCAGCCUGUCUGAUUCUGGAAAAAUCGUGCCACGAUGGGAAACCAACGUGCCACGAUGCUGUUUGACCAAAAACCUCAAAAAUGCAAUUUUCUUCGCUCCAAUUGGUUCCAAACUUCUUCCUAAGUGUAGGGACUUUAUCCUAAUCAUCUAGGGAUGUUUUUAUGGAAGAAAUAGCUUUGUAUUAAGGGCUUAGUGAGUCCUUGUGUUUUCUUGACUUUAAUGAAACAUUUAUGAUAUGAAUCUUUGCAAAACUUGAAUUUAAGUGAGUUGGCCUAUGAAACGUUGAUGUAUACACUACUGCACUCAUAUGUGAUUUGUGUAUAUACAUGGUUGAGGUCCUAGAGUUUAUUUAUUUGGUUUUAGUUCAUUUGUUCUAAUCAUGUAAAAGGUGAUAUUUCGGGUGGGAAUGUGAAAAGUUGUGAAAUGGGGUUUUUCAUACGAACUUAAGUUGUUCUUGGAUUAAUGUUUAAUGGUCCGGAGGCAACUUAAAUUCAUGAAUACAUGAUUGGUUAAGGUUGUUUGAGAACUCUCAACUUGUCUAUGUUGUUUUGUCUUGGGAAUUGUCAAUGUUGGCCGUUUGCCACUUGACACGGUCUUUGGUCGGAAAUGUUUCUUGAACUAAUUGUCUUAUGAAUUGUGGUGACUAUUCUUAUAUGGCUAAGUGAAGUUGUAUGAAUGAAUGAUUGUAUUGGAUAUGAUGUUUAUCAUGAGAUAUGUAUGUGAUCUUACUUAGAAUGUAAGGAAUGCUUGAAUGGUGAAACUAUAUGUGAUAGUUGAUGUUGAAUGGUUAUAUGUUGGAUAUGAUAUUUGUCAUGAAAUGUUGUAUGUUCUCUUACUUGGAAUAUGAGAAUUGUUUGGAAUGGUGAAACUAUAUGAUAUAGUUGAUGUUGAAUGACAUUGUUGAUUAUUGAUAAUCAUGUUGAUGUGUGAUGGUGAAUACUAUGAUUUAAUUGUGUGUGGGCAUGUUUUCUUGGUAAUGCAAUGUUGUGGAGAUAAUCAAUAUAAUUGGGUGUUGUCCUAUAUAUUGAGUUGAGAUUGAGAAUUGUUGUCGCAUUAUCGAGUCAUUACACAUGUCCAUGCAUCAUAGUCGUUGUUGCUGUAAAAGGGAUGACUCUUUUACUUCGAGAUUAUUGUAAGGCAGGUGUGAGCCCUUACAAUCGAUGUGCAAGUGGCAUCGAAAGGUGACGACCUUGUUGAGAUUUGGUACCGCAUGCAUUUAUGUGUCCAUAAGUGCAUAUCAUAGCAUGAGUCCUAUGUGAAUUAUGUGAUUGGUGAUGAAUUGAGAUGAAUGAAUGUUGAUAAUGAUUGUCUAUGAUUGAUGUUGUGAAUGAAUAUUUAUGAUUGGAUAAUUAUUCAUGUGAUUGAUAUAUGUGGAUACGAACUAUCAAGUUGUGAUAUAAGUAUUUAUGCAUGACUAUUAUUAUUCAAGUACAUGAUAUUAUUUGAUUUGAUUAUUAUCUGGAUUAUGAUAAUGUAAUGCUUACCCCCAGUGGUUUUAACCGCCUACUUGCCUGUAUGGGUGAGUAGACGUUGUGCAGGAGUAGUCUCGGUGAGUCUUUGCUUGGGAUAUCGGGAGCUUCCUCCGAUAUCGGUGUCGUGUCGGCUCUGAUCUAGGCUUGUCGUGUCGGUCUAGAUUAGGUUGUUUAUAUUUUCGUUGGGAUUAUUAUUUUGUUGAUGACUACCCGAUGUUUGGGUUUUGAGAUUUAUCUUUUGGAUAUGAUUUAUUUGCUCAUGGCAUGUAUAUAUUUGAUCACUCUGAUUUAUAUUCCGCUGUAACUGUUGAGGUUUACAUACAUGUCUAUCGGUUUUUGAAUUUUGAAUAAGACGUAAUCUCUAUUUCUUGAAUAAAUGUAUUAUUCGCAUGUUUAAUUGCUUUAAUAGAAAUAGGAGCGUUACAAGUUGGUAUCAGAGCCAUGGUCAGUCGCGUUUAGAUUAAUCUUUGUUGUGUUGUUUCUUAUCGUUUAGAUGGUUGUGUAGUGCGAACAUGGCAGGAGGUCGUGAUGAUGCGGCGAUUGCACAAGCCUUGGCAGCGAUGGCUCAGGUUUUGGCUCAAUCGAAUGAGCAAGCGGCGAUUGGUCGUCGGAAUGAGGGAGAAGCUGAGGAGCGGAGGCUUGAUCGUUUCUUGCGAAACAAUCCACCUACGUUCAAGGGAAGGUUCGACCCGGAUGGAGCUCAAACAUGGUUGCAAGGCAUGGAGAGGAUCUUUCGUGCUAUGGUGACUAGUGAUGAUCAGAAGGUGAGGUUGGCUACUCACAUGCUUGCUGAGGAGGCUGAGUAUUGGUGGACCAAUGCUAAGGGAAGACUUGAGAUUGGUGGAGAGGUUGUGACUUGGACAAGGUUCAAGGCUGAGUUUUUGAGGAAGUACUUUCCAGAGGAUUUGAGGACUAGGAAGGAAGUGGAGUUCCUGAAUUUGAAGCAAGGGAGUAUGUCUGUGGCCGAGUAUGCGGCGAAGUUUGAGGAGCUUGCAAGGUUUUGUCCCUACAUCAAUGCGGAGGAUGCUAUGGUUUCCAAGUGUGUGAAGUUUGAAAGUGGGCUUAGGCCGGACAUCUAUCAGUACAUGUGUGUUCAGGAGAUCCGAGACUUUGAUACUUUGGUGCAUAAGUGUCGUAUGUUUGAUGAUGCUGGGAAAGCUAAGUCUAAUUACUACAAGGCUCAGGGUGAAAAGAGAGGAAGAGGACAUGGGGCUGGAAAACCUUACAGCAAGGACAAAGGAAAGAAGAGAGAAGCUGGUGGAGGCUCUAGGCCAAGUUUGGCGGAAGUCAAGUGCUUUAAGUGUGGAGCUAUGGGUCAUUAUGCUAGUGAUUGCAAGAAUGAUUUUACUUGUCACAAGUGUGGGAAAGCGGGUCACAAGGCGGUCGAUUGCAGAGGUGUUGCAAGAGAGACUACUUGUUACAAUUGUGGAGAGAAGGGUCAUAUUAGUACCAAGUGUACCAAGCCAAAGAAGGCGGCGGGAAAGGUGUUUGCUUUGAACGCCGAGGAGGUGGAGCAGCCGGAUAAUCUUAUCCGAGGUAUGUGUUUUAUCAAUAGUACUCCUUUGAUUGCAAUUAUUGAUACUGGUGCUACUCAUUCUUUUAUCUCGGCUAGUUGUGUUGAACGUUUGGAUUUGGUUGUAACUCCUUUGUUGCGUGGAAUGGUUAUUGACACCCCGGCUAGCGGUUCGGUGACUACUUCUUUUAUGUGUGCUAAGUGUCCUGUUAAUUUUGGUGAUGUUGAUUUUGAGUUGGAUCUUGUUUGUCUUCCGUUGAAGCAUAUGGAUGUGAUUUUUGGUAUGGAUUGGUUGUUAGCUUUUGGGGUUAGCAUUAAUUGUUUGACUAGGAGUGUGACUUUUUCUAAGCCGGUAGAAGAGUUAGAUAGGAAGUUUUUGACCGCGGAGCAAGUGAAGAAGUCUUUAGAUGGUGAGGCUUGUGUGUUUAUGAUGUUUGCAUCUUUGAAGGUUGGUGGUGAGAAAGGGGUUAGUGAUUUGCCGGUAGUGCAAGAGUUUCCUGAGGUUUUUCCAGAGGAUAUUACCGAGUUACCGCCGGAGAGGGAAGUUGAGUUUGCAAUUGAUUUGGUACCAGGCACGAGUCCUAUUUCGAUUGCGCCGUAUCGGAUGUCUGCAUCGGAGUUGGGUGAAUUGAAGAAUCAGUUGGAAGAGUUGCUUGAGAAGCAGUUUAUUAGACCGAGUGUUUCACCGUGGGGUGCUCCAGUGUUGUUGGUUAAGAAGAAAGAUGGAAGCAUGAGGUUGUGUGUGGAUUAUCGACAGUUGAACAAGGUGACGAUUAAGAAUCGGUAUCCACUUCCAAGGAUUGAUGAUUUGAUGGAUCAGCUAGUGGGUGCAGAGGUGUUUAGUAAGAUUGAUUUGAGAUCAGGAUAUCAUCAGAUUAGAGUAAAGGCGGAAGAUAUAUCCAAAACUGCGUUCCGAACGAGGUAUGGACACUAUGAGUAUUCUGUGAUGCCAUUUGGAGUAUCUAAUGCACCAGGUGUCUUUAUGGAAUACAUGAAUAGAAUAUUUCAUCCUUAUCUGGACCGUUUUGUGGUGGUGUUCAUAGAUGAUAUUUUGGUGUAUUCAAAGUCUGAGGAAGAGCAUGCUGAGCAUUUGAGGAUUGUGUUGCAAGUCUUGAAAGAGAACCAGUUGUGUGCCAAGUUGUCUAAGUGUGAGUUUUGGUUGAAGGAAGUGAGUUUCCUUGGUCAUGUGAUUUCUAAGGGUGGUAUUUCUGUGGAUCCUUCCAAGGUUGAUGCAGUGUUGCAGUGGGAGUCUCCUAAGUCUGUUUUUGAGAUUAGAAGCUUUCUUGGUUUGGCCGGUUAUUAUCGGAGGUUCAUUGAGGGAUUCUCUAAGUUGGCGUUGCCAUUGACGCAGUUGACUCGGAAAGGACAAGCUUAUGUUUGGGAUGCCAAGUGUGAGAAGAGUUUCCAAGAGUUGAAGAAGAGGUUGACUUCAGCUCCGGUGUUGAUUUUGCCGAAUCCGAAGGAAUCGUUUGUUGUGUAUUGUGAUGCUUCUAAGAUGGGUCUUGGUGGUGUGCUUAUGCAGAAUCGUCAGGUUGUAGCUUAUGCUUCGAGGCAAUUGAAAGUGCAUGAGAAGAAUUAUCCGACUCAUGAUUUGGAAUUGGCAGCCGUUGUGUAUACAUUGAAGAUUUGGAGACAUUAUCUGUAUGGUUCUAAGUUUGAGGUGUUCAGUGACCACAAGAGUUUGAAGUAUUUGUUUGAUCAGAAAGAGUUGAAUAUGAGGCAGAGAAGAUGGUUGGAAUAUCUUAAGGAUUUUGAUUUUCAGUUGAGUUAUCAUCCCGGAAAGGCUAAUGUUGUUGCGGAUGCUUUGAGUAGAAAGACUUUGCAUAUGUCUGCUUUGAUGGUUAAAGAGUUGGAAUUGAUUGAGCAGUUUCGAGACUUGAGUUUGGUUAGUGAGUUGACACCUGAUGGUGUGAGGUUGGGUAUGUUGAAGUUGACAAGCAAUAUUUUGGAAGAGAUCAAGAAUGGUCAGAAGGAAGAUUUGGAACUCGUGAAUCGAGUGACGUUGGUUAAUCAAGGAAAAGGUGGAGACUUUAGAUUGGGUGAGACUGGUGUUUUGAUGUUUCGUGAUCGAGUUUGUGUGCCGGAUGUGUUUGAGCUUAAGAGGCAAAUUUUGGACGAAGGUCAUAGAAGUAGUUUGAGUAUUCAUCCAGGAGCAACUAAGAUGUAUCAGGAUUUGAAAAGGUUGUUUUGGUGGCCUGGAAUGAAGAAGGAGAUUGCUGAGUUUGUUUAUGCUUGUUUGGUUUGUCAGAAAUCGAAGAUUGAACAUCAGAGACCGUCGGGUUUGAUGCAACCGUUGUUUGUGCCAGAGUGGAAGUGGGAUAGCAUUUCUAUGGAUUUUGUUGGAGCGUUGCCUAAGACUAGUAAGGGUUUCGAUUCGAUUUGGGUGAUUGUUGAUCGGUUGACGAAGUCAGCGCAUUUUGUUCCUAUCAAGACUGGUAUGUCGGUAGCGAAGUUGGCUGAGAUCUACAUUGAGCAGAUUGUUAGAUUGCAUGGUAUUCCUUCUAGUAUUGUGUCGGAUCGGGAUCCGAGGUUUACUUCUAAGUUUUGGGAGAGUUUGCAAGCUGCUUUGGGAACUAAGUUGAGAUUGAGUUCUGCUUACCAUCCUCAGACCGAUGGGCAGACAGAGAGGACUAUUCAGAGUUUGGAGGAUUUGUUGAGAGCUUGUGUUUUGGAGCAAGGUGUCAGUUGGGACGAAUGUUUACCGUUGAUUGAGUUUACUUACAACAACAGUUUUCAUGCUAGUAUCGGUAUGGCACCGUUUGAGGCUUUGUAUGGUCGGAGGUGUAGGACACCGUUGUGUUGGUUUGAAUCCGGAGAAAGUGCUUUGUUUGGGCCGGAAGUUGUGCAAGAAACUACGGAAAAGGUUAAGAUGAUUCAGGAGAAGAUGAAGGCGUCUCAGAGUAGACAGAAGAGUUAUCAUGAUAAGAGGAGAAAGGAUAUUGAGUUUCAAGUUGGUGAUCAUGUGUUUUUGAGGGUGAAUCCUGUGACCGGAGUUGGUCGUGCUUUAAAGUGUAGGAAGUUGACUCCUCGUUUUGUUGGGCCGUUUGAUGUCAUUGAGAAGGUUGGGGUUGUAGCGUACCGGAUUGCGUUGCCACCGUCUUUGUCGAAUCUUCAUAAUGUGUUUCAUGUGUCUCAGUUGAGGAAGUAUGUGCAUGAUGCGUCUCAUGUGAUUCAAGUGGAUGAGUUGGAGAUAAGAGAUAAUUUGACGGUUGAGACUUGGCCGGUUAGGAUUGAGGAUCGCGAGUUGAAGCGUUUGCGUGGCAAGGAGAUUGUUUUGGUCAAAGUGAUUUGGGUUGGACCAACUAGUGAGAGUGCCACUUGGGAACCGGAGAGUCGGAUGAGGGUUUCGUAUCCGGAGUUGUUUCCUUCUGGUAAAUUUUCGAGGGCGAAAAUUCUUUUUAGGGGGGAAAGUUGUAACAGCCCGAUUUUUAGCUAGAUUUAUUUUAUGAUAUGUUUAUGUGUUUGUGUGCGUGAUUAAUCAUCAUGGGUGCAUUUUCAUGGGUUUUCGUAUUAGAAGGGUAUUUUGGUAAUUUUGUGAGAACGGGUAAAAUUAUAGUUUUGGGUGAGAAUUACUUUUAGUGUUUAGUGAGAGUGGUUAUUUCAUUAAGUUACUAGAGAAAGUCAAGAUUUUACCGUUAGUGACAUUUUACCAGCAUUCAAGGGAAGGUAUGAUCCCGAUGGUGCCCAGAAGUGGCUUAAGGAAGUGGAACGGAUUUUCAGGGUCAUGCAAUGCUCAGAGGUGCAAAAGGUGCGGUUUGGAACGCACAUGCUAGCAGAGGAGGCAGAUGACUGGUGGGUAAGUUUGUUACCUGUGUUGGAACAGGAUGGAGCUGCAGUGACCUGGGCUAUGUUCAGGAGAGAAUUCCUGAAUAGGUACUUCCUGGAAGAUGUCCGAGGAAAGAAAGAGAUUGAAUUUCUGGAGCUGAAGCAGGGUGACAUGUCUGUCACAGAGUAUGUUGCUAAGUUUGUGGAACUUGCUAAGUUCUACCCUCAUUAUACUGCGGAGACAGCUGAGUUCUCCAAGUGUAUCAAGUUUGAGAAUGGCCUGAGAGCUGACAUCAAGAGGGCUAUUGGAUACCAGAAAAUUAGAAACUUUUCGAAGUUGGUGAGCAGCUGUAGAAUCUAUGAAUAAGAUACGAAAGCUCAUUACAAGGUGAUGAGUGACCGUAGAGGCAAGGGACAGCAGAGUCGUCCUAAACAUAUAGUGCUCCUGCUGACAAGGGAAAGCAGAGGCUGAAUGAUGAGAGGAGACCCAAGAGGAGAGAUGCUCCUGUUGAUAUUGUUUGCUACAAGUGUGGCGAGAAAGGCCACAAGAGUAAUGUUUGUACUAAAGAUGAGAAGAAUUGUUUCAGGUGUGGUCAGAAAGGACACACACUAGCUGAUUGCAAGAGGGGAGAUGUUGUUUGUUAUAACUGCAAUGAGGAAGGUCACAUCAGUUCGCAGUGUACGCAACCGAGGAAGGUUAGGACCGGUAGUAAAGUGUUUGCUCUGACUGGUACGCAAACCACUAGUGAGGAUCGACUUAUCAGAGGUACUUGUUUCUUUAAUAUUAUUCCUUUAAUUGCUAUUAUAGACACUGGUGCUACUCAUUGUUUCAUUGUUAUUGAAUGUUCUUAUAAGUUGGGUCUGGUUGUAUCUGAUAUGAAAGGGGAAAUGGUUGUUGAAACUCCAGAUAAGGGUUCAUUAACUACUUCUCUUGUUUGUCUAAGGUGUCCGUUGUCUAUGUUUGGUAGAGACUUUGAAGUCGACUUAGUUUGUUUACCGUUGACGGGAAUGGAUGUUAUUUUUGGGAUGAACUGGUUAGAGUAUAACCGAGUUCAUAUCAAUUGUUUUAGCAAGACGGUGCAUUUUUCUUCUACGGAAGAAGAGAGUGGAGCAGAAUUCCUAACUAUUAAACAGUUGAAGCAGUUGGAGCGCGAUGGAAUUCUUAUGUUUUCUUUGAUGGCAUCUUUGUCGUUAGAAAAUCAAGCUGUGAUUGACAGGUUACUAGUGGUGAAUGAGUUUCCUGAAGUUUUUUCGGAUGAGAUUCCAGAUGUACCACCAGAGAGGGAGGUUGAGUUUUCAAUUGACCUUGUUCCGGGAACGAAGCCGGUGUCGAUGGCAUCUUAUCGUAUGUCGGCGUCUGAACUUGCUGAGUUGAAGAAACAGUUGGAGGACUUGCUUGAUAAGAAGUUUGUAAGACCAAGUGUUUCACCUUGGGGAGCGCCGGUGUUGUUAGUAAAGAAGAAGGAUGGUAGUAUGAGGUUGUGCAUUGACUAUCGUCAGUUUAAUAAAGUUACAAUAAAGAACAGAUAUCCACUUCCGAGGAUUGAUGACUUGAUGGAUCAGUUGGUGGGUGCAAAGGUUUUCAGUAUGAUUGACUUGAGGUCAGGUUACCAUCAAAUUAAGGUGAAGGAUGAAGAUAUGCAGAAGACGGCCUUUAGGACACGAUAUGGUCAUUACGAAUACAAGGUGAUGCCUUUAGGUGUUACUAAUGCGCGUGGUGUGUUCAUGGAGUAUAUGAACCGAAUUUUCCAUGCUUACCUGGAUAAAUUCGUGGUUGUGUUUAUUGAUGAUAUUCUGAUUUAUUCAAAGACUGAAGAAGAACAUGCAGAACAUUUGAAGAUUGUGUUGCAAAUUUUGAAAGAGAAAAGGUUGUAUGCUAAGUUGUCGAAGUGUGAGUUCUGGUUAUGUGAAGCGAGUUUUCUUGGCCACAUUAUUUCUGGUAGUGGUAUUGCAGUUGAUCCAUCGAAAGUUGAUGCUGUAUCACAAUGGGAGACUCCGAAGUCAGUGACUGAAAUCAGAAGUUUCUUGGGUUUGGCUGGUUAUUACCUCAGGUUCAUUGAAGGUUUUUCUAAGUUAGCACUUCCGUUGACUCUGUUAACCUGUAAGGGUAAGUCGUUUGUGUGGGAUGCUCAGUGUGAGAGUAGUUUCAAUGAGUUGAAGCGAAGAUUGACAACUGCUCCUAUUUUGAUUCUACCGAAGCCGGAAGAACCGUUUGUUGUUUAUUGUGAUGCGUCUAAGCUGGGCUUAGGUGGUGUUUUGAUGCAAGAUGGUAAGGUGGUAGCGUAUGCUUCUAGGCAGCUAAGAAUUCAUGAAAAGAAUUAUCCUACUCAUGAUUUGGAGUUGGCUGCGGUGGUUUUUGUUUUGAAGAUUUGGAGGCAUUAUUUGUAUGGUUCCAGAUUUGAAGUAUUUAGUGAUCAUAAAAGUUUGAAAUAUCUGUUUGAUCAAAAGGAAUUGAACAUGAGGCAGAGGAGAUGGUUGGAGUUGUUGAAGGAUUAUGAUUUUGGCUUGAAUUACCAUCCUGGUAAAGCCAAUGUGGUUGCAGAUGCCUUGAGUAGGAAAACGCUGCAUAUGUCUGCUUUAAUGGUGAAAGAAUUCGAUUUGCUAGAACAGUUUAGAGACUUGAGCCUUGUCUGUGAAUUAACACCUCAGAGUGUUCAGUUGGGGAUGCUGAAGAUUAAUAAUGAUUUCUUGAAUAGUAUCCGAGAAGCACAACUAGUGGAUGUGAAGUUUGUUGAUUUAAUGGUUGCUGGUAAUGGCACUGAGGAUAGUGAUUUUAAGGUUGAUGAUCAGGGUGUGUUGAGGUUCAGAGGAAGAAUUUGCAUUCCCGAUGAUGAUGAUGGUUCAGAGGAAAGUCACAAGAGUAGCUUGAGUAUUCAUCCGGGAGCUACGAAAAUGUAUCAUGACUUGAAGAAGCUGUUUUGGUGGUCUGGGUUGAAACGUGAUGUUGCUCAGUUUGUGUAUGCAUGUUUGACUUGUCAGAUGUCUAAGGUUGAACAUCAGAAGCCUGCAGGGUUGUUGACACCGUUGGAUGUGCCGGAGUGGAAGUGGGAUAGCAUUUCUAUGGAUUUUGUGACGAGUUUACCUAACACUCCGAGAGGGCAUGAUGCUAUAUGGGUUGUGGUCGACAUGUUGACAAAGUCGACGCAUUUUAUUCCGAUUAAUAUCAGUUAUCCGGUAGCUCAGUUGGCGGAGAUUUAUAUUCAUAACAUUGUGAAGCUACAUGGUGUACCGUCGAGAAUUGUGUCGGAUAGGGAUCCGAGGUUCACUUCUAGAUUCUGGAAGAGCUGACAAGAUGCAUUGGGUUCGAAGUUGAGGUUGAGUUCGGCUUAUCAUCCUCAGACAGACGGUCAAUCGGAGAGAACGAUACCAUCCUUGGAGGAUUUGCUGAGAGUGUGUGUACUUGAGCAAGGUGGAGCUUGGGAUAGUCACCUACCGUUGAUAGAGUUCACGUACAACAACAGUUACCAUUCGAGUAUUGGUAUGGCUCCGUUCGAAGCUUUGUAUGGUCGGAGGUGUAGAACUCCUUUAUGCUGGUUUGAGUCAGGAGAGAGUGUUGUUUUGGGACCAGAUUUGGUUCAUCAGACUACAGAGAAAGUCAAGAUGAUCAGAGAGAAGAUGAAAGCGUCGCAGAGUCGACAUAAGAGUUAUCAUGACAAGCGUUGGAAGGCCCUUAAGUUUUAGGAGGGUGAUCAUGUUUUUCUGAGAGUUACUCCUAUGACGGGUGUAGGACGUACAUUUAAGUCGAAGAAGAAGUUGACUCCAAAGUUCAUUGGUCCGUAUCAGAUUUCAGAGAGAGUUGGAACUGUGGCAUAUAGAGUUGGUUUGCCACCACAUCUUUCGAACUUGCAUGAUGUGUUUAUGACAGGUUGAAGAAAUUAUGCUCUCGGGAAAACUCCAUUUUUCACUCUAAAAUUCCAAUUUUGACUUCCCAAUGCCCAAAUUUGAUCAUAAGGUUUGUCUACACGUUUCUAAACAUGAAAAGACACUCGAAUCCAUAUAAAAUCUAGAACCAAACAUCAUUUCAACAAAAAUCACCAUCUGACCCAUUUUUCAUGAAAACCUUCAAGAACAACACAAAUUCACUUCAAGCUCUAUGGUUGAGAUUACCCAAGGUUUCAAUCAUCAACAAUCAGAAGUGAAUUCAUCAGCAAUUCAUAAACAACCACAUUCUACUUCACCAAUUUUGAGCAAAAACACAAGUAUACAUAUAUACAUAACUUGAGCAUGUAAAUUCAUCAUCAAGAACUUAAUUAACAUCAAAUUCACAUACCCAAACAUUACAUCAAAGCAUAAGCACGAAUUUCAUAAUAAUCAUUUUAUACAAAUAAUUACUUAUGCAUAGAAUUAGGGUAGAAGCUACAACUAAGUGAUUAUGAUUGAAAUCUAACCCCCUUACCUCAAUAAGCAAUAAUCCUAGCAAAAGCUUCAAUUUAGCUCCUAGAAUCUCUAUCACCUCUUCGUUCUUCAAGCUUUCUCCCUUCUAACCCUUUUGCUCAUUCUCUUGAACUUUCUCUUUCUACCUCUCUCAAAAUUCUUACGAAAUGAAAACCUAUUUUUUUCCUAAACACAAGAGUUUAUAUAGGCUCCUAACAAUUGGGGUUAACCCUUAAUGCCUUAACGAGCUUAACCUGUAACGCCCUAGUCGUUAAUUUAUUUAUUUUGGAUUUAUUUAGAGUCUUUUAUGUGAUUUUAAAUAAUAUUUGUGUUUUAUGUGAUGUGUUAUAUUUUAUUAUAUAGUUUAUUUUAAUAAUAAUUAGAAUAAGUGGAAAAUUAAUAUUAUUUUGGAGUUUGGGGAGUUAAUUAGGAUUUAAUAAGAAUUAAGGGAGUUUAAUGAAAUAUAGGGAAGUUACAUUUUGGGAGUUAAGAAAAGAGAAUAUCAGAAAAACGUUUUUACGUGAAAAUCAACUUUUGGGAGAAAAGGGAGAGAAGAGCAAGUAGAGCCAAGAACCGAUUUUUCUGUGCAUUUCUUUCUGAAAAUCUAAGGUAAGGGUGAGGUUUGCUUCAUUAGUAUAGAUACUGAAUUCUGAAUUUGAUUUUAAAAGGUUUAUGUGUGAAUUGGGAUUUUUGGGGUUUAGGUUGAAUUAUGAGUUUUUGAAUGAAUUGAGUGUAGAGGUUGAUGUUUUGGGGUUAGAAAUGGGUUCUGAGUGUGUGUAGAAUUUUAUUUCAUAUCUGUAAACUGAUUUGGGGAGUGAAUUGGAAGAAAAUGGAAUUUUUGGGAAAAACCUGUAUUCUGCCCGUGCUGACAUUCAUCGUUCGCCCCGCGAGUAGUCUUGUCUCGCCUCGAGAGUGAGCAAUGUUCUUAGCUCACGCCGCGAGUACCCGUGAGUAAAACAUGAUUUUUUGAUUGUUGUUAUAAGGUGUAAAAUGGAUUGUUUUAAGUACCUAGAUGAUUUUAGAGAGGUCUGGGACAAUUUUUAGAUUAAAAAGAUGAAUAGGGAACUUAAAAAGGAAGAUUUAGUGAGAAAAAUGUCAAAACUCCCGAGAGCAGCCUUUUUCUGUUCGUCUUGAGUUCGCCAUAGCGAGCAGAUGUGCUCGCGAGGCGAGUUGCCCAGUAUUUGAGUUGUUGGUUCUGUUUUGAUGAAUGUUGAUUGAUAUUGAUGUCCAAGCAUGACUACUAUAAAUGGUGUAUUUUCUGGGAUGAAUGGAUUACUUAGGUUGAUUUGUUGAUGACUGUAAUGUAUGUUGUAUUAUUUAAAUCAUACAUGUUGUUUGAAUUGCGGUGUUGUGAGUCAUAUGAAAAAAUAUGCAUUGUUAAUUUGUAUGUGGAUAUACACAAGUGGGUUAGUUGCAUAAGCAUAAUAAGCGGGAGGGAUUCUGCCCUGGAAUGCCUUGUCGUUCAAAGUGGUGGAACAUUUGUUGUUCAAAGCGGUGUUUAGCGGUGAGGACUCAUGUCCUGAAAAAAAUGAAUACUUUAACCAUUCUAAUAGCGGUGAGGGCUCCGGCCCUGAAUUUGGUACCACAUGCAUUGUAGAGGAGUCUUAGUGGAGUUGUGGAGUAUUGCAUGAGUCGAUGUUGUUGGUUUUAAUUACCAUUUGUUGUUGAUGCUGAUAAUGAUGAUAUUUAUAUAUGUUGAUGAAUUAUUAUUAUGAUAGAGUGUUAGAUUCAAUUGAUGCAUUCAUUAUCUAUAUUUAUUGUUGUGAAUCUCACCCCUUCUGCUUGAAAAUGUUGCCCUUCCUAUGGGUAACUUGCAGGUGAUCCUGAGUAGUAGGUGGUGGCUCAAAGUGUCUAGGGCUCUGAUACGUGGGAUUUUAUUUUAAUGUUACCUUCAUUCCUAUGUAUCAAUUUUUGAAUAUUUCUGAUGUAGCCCUAUGGUUGUUGAAUUUAUGUUGAUAAGGCUUUGAUCCCAAGAUUUAAUUAUGGAGAUUUAAAAAGUUGCUGUUGUUGUUUUGAUGCAAAUUUUCCGCUGCAAAAUUAAUGAUGAUUUUGAAGGAUGUUUAUUAAAUAGAAUUUAUAUUCUAUUUAAGAAAUUUUGAAAAUGUAGUGUGACAUGCCCGUUUGGAAACUACUCUGAUGCAUGUUUAUUUAUUAAUUAAUUGAUUUUGGGAAACGGGGUGUUACAUAACCCAUUUACUAAACCGUUCACGAAAUGUUUCUACUCACUUAACGGUAAAAUAAUAAUAACGAUCAUUUACCGGCUCACGACUAAUUACUACACUAAUAACUUAGUAAAAUAAUGGUUCUCACUUGAAACACUAAAAGUAACCCUCACCAAGAAAAUUACUAAAAUACCCUUACUCACAAAAUGACCAAAAUACCCUUUUUGCACUAAAACCAAUUAAAAUGCACCCAAUCAUAAAUAAUCACACACAAGCACAUAAAAACACAUAUUAAAAUAAUUAAAAUAAUUCUAGCGAAAAUCGGGCUGUUACAACUUCAUUCUCUUGCUGGUCAUAUUCCAGACUUUGUGCCUAUCUCUUUUUAUGCUUCGCAUGAAUGCACCAAAAGCUUUUCUUUGUGGUAGAACAAAUAUUACCUUUCCAACCUUGUCGACGAAACAUCAUUUCAUGCAAACCUGAUCAGUGAUUUUCCUUCUUUGCAGAGUAAGACGAAGAAAAAUAAAGGUAUGUAUGUUAAAGAAAUUCAAGCUUUCCAUAAAUUUUAUGAAGUUGUGUAUAAUCCAUUAAAUAUCGAAAAAACUGUAAAGGAAGUUACACUAGUUUUAAAACAGAAAUUACUUGAGAAAAUUCCAAAAAUAAAAUUUCGUCCUUAUGUAAAUAAUGCACAUGCCAAAUAUAAAAUGACUUUAGCCUUUAUUGCAUAAGAUUCCCAGCAUUGCCAAGUACGAACUUCACUUUGUCUUUCGAACCAAGUAUCCUCCUUGGUUUCAUUUUGGCUAUAAAUUCAUUCAAAAUGCUUUGAAAUUAGAAAAACAGAGAGUAACUUGGACCAAAUUUGGUUUACAUAAUUACCCAAAAACUUUACAUUAUGGAAUUCACCAGGUUCGUGUCGAACGUCUAGACACUGAUGUACUGGCAGUAGCAGAUGCCUCUUCUAGUCUCUCCAAAAGGGUGGAAGACCCCAAUUCUAGUGUGAAUAAUUCUAGCAACACCCCACUUUCACCUGUGUCCCAAAAGUCAAAAUCAAACAAUUUCAACAAGGGACUAGAAAGUGCCAAUUCUAGCCCAGGAGGUGACAAGGUAAAAAUUUCACCUUUAUCUCAAAAUCAAAAUAUUCUGAAACUUUUAAUUAACUAAACCUAGACUUCGUCUGUACGAUACUUCCUCGACUGCUGGAACGCAUGUUAAUCCGACUCAAAAAUCUUCUCCAAUCGCCCCUUCUUUAAACACUAUUGCGCAAGAAGCUGACAGUCCCGGUCAUAUGAGUGAUUAAACAGGAUGAACAAUGAUUGUUGAUCUCACUAGGAAAGAAGGACUUCGAUAAGAUGAAUAGAUGCGAAAGCAAGCCAUUGCAAAUUUUCCCCCUACUCUUCAAAACUCAAUUUCGGAAAAGUCUAACUCUAGUUCUAGAAAUGCCAAUGGAGGAAGUGAUGGGGAUGAGGACGACAAGAUUCAUCCUAGCAUAGCCAAGAGUGGUACCCCCAACAAUCAAGACUUCCCACAAGGUAGCAUCAAAUCAGCCAGUCAGGGACUACACCAUGACGUUGUAAUAGUCGAACAUGACCAAAGUUUCUGUUGGGUAUUUGUAUUGGCUGCAUUGUUGCUAAAACAAAUAUCCUUGAUGUGUAAGUUGGAACCAAUGUUCCAACAUAUGUUUAGGCAUCUCUGUAAGAUGUUGGAUACGAUGUUCCAACAUCCUGACACAGUUCAGUGUGCCUGAGUUCUUGCCUACUUGUACACGCGCCCUUUAUUGUUUAAUGAAAUAAUAUUUCCUUAUCUUAUUGAUCAAGCAACGCGCAUAUCUAUAAAAAAUCAGUUGUGGAAUAUUUCUAAAGUAGAUUUUAUAUUUUAGGAAAUAUUUGUUAUUGGUUGGAACGAUCCUAUAAAUGUUCCGACAUUUUAGGACUUUCCAUAUUUGUUUCUGAUUCUUGUUUUGUAGAUUAGCUGAACUGAUCUGCUUUGUACUGAAGCCCAACUAAGUAUUUAGCCCAAGCUUCUUCAAUAUAUAAGAAAUACUUCAAGACCUAAUUGAUCAUUUAAGCCGUCAUACUAAAAAGUUUAGAUUUUUAGUGUUUUGAGUCUUUAUGUGCUAUAUUCUUGUAUCGUUUGUGAUGCAAGUCUAUAACCUUUUGUGAGCCUUUCUUAUAUCAUUUGUGAUACUUGUUUAGCACUAUUUGUGUGAGUUUGAUACUCUUAUGCACUACACCGAAGUUGUAAAACAAGGUGUUAGUUGUUUGUGUUUGAAGGUAACUUCUACUUUGAGUCUGUUUAGGUCUGAUAGGUCACAGGGGAUGUGACUAACCAUUAGGAUAGUGAGAUGGGAUCUCAGAUCUAGGAGUUCCUAGGUUGAAGUCUGUACAUGUAGGUCCUAGGUCUUUAGUGUAAACGAGGAGUUUGCUAAGAGCUAUAAAAUAAGGACUACACUAGUGGAUUUCCUUCCUGGCUUGGUAGCCCAUAUAGUAGGUGUGUUUGUCACCGAACUAUUUCAACAAACUCAUUGUGUUCUUUACUUUCUUGUUGUUUAUUUUUUUGUUUUUACUUUUGUUUAUCGCGUGAUGUUAAAACAUUGAACGAAACAUUGCAUACAUACAUAACAUAUUAAAACAAGUGCGUUAGAAUUUCAAUUGGCAUCAGAGCAGGCACCCCUGCCUGUUUUAGGGUGAGCUCCAGGGAAGUUUUAUUCUAGCGCUAUGCACAAGGAAGGUGGAUUUGUAAACAGACCUCCUCUGUUGGAUGGUUUAAACUAUGAUUACUAGAAAUCAUGCAUGAGUGCUUUUCUCAAAUCCAUUGACAACAAAAUGUGGAAGGCAGUUCUGAAAGGCUGGGAACAUCCAGUGGCACUUGAUGAUGAUGGUAACAGGACUGAUUUUUGAAACCAGAAGAAGAAUGGACUGCCUCUGAAGAUGAACUAGCUCUUGGAAACUCCAAAGCAUUGAAUGCUCUAUUCAAUGGGGUAGAUAAGAACAUGUUCAUAUUGAUCAAACAAUGCUGUUACCAUCAGUCCUGUUACCAUCAUCAUCUUCAGUCCUGUUACCAUCAGUCCUGUUACCAUCAUCAUCUUCCACUAAAUUUGAGAAUUUGAAAAUGUUGGAAGAUGAGAGCAUUCAGGACUAUCACUUGAAUAUUCUAGAAAUUGCAAAUUCUUUUGAGUCUCUUGGAGAAAAAGUUGCUGAUGAAAAACUUGUUAGAAAGAUUCUCAGAUCUCUGCCUAAGAGGUAUGACAUGAAAGUAACUGCUAUUGAGGAGGCUCAUGAUAUAUGUAGUUUAAAGGUUGAUGAAUUAAUAGGGUCCCUGCAAAACUUUGAAAUAACUGUCAACAACAAGACUAAUAAGAAAGGGAAGGGUUGAUGAGGUAAAACCGCAAGUAAACUGUUUUUUCUUUUUGUGAGUGUAUCCUAAAUCUUGUGGAAGCAUUAAUAGAAAAGUUUUUAUUUGACACUCUCCGCUGCGAAUCAAACUCUCUUUUUGAAUAAAUAAUAGUGAUAAUUAUUUAUGGGAUUUAGGGUGUCACAGUGAAUGUCAAAUUGGCAAACAGACAAGGAUGUCCCAUCCAAGGUUGGAACAUCAAGCUACCUCUAAAGUCCUUGAACUUUUGCACAUGGAUCUGAUGGUGCCUAUGCAGGUUGAGAGCAUUGGUGAAAAAAGGUAUGUUCUUGUUGUUGUUGAUGACUUCAAAAGAUUCACUUGGGUGAACUUUAUUAGAGAAAAGUCAGAUACUGUCAAUGUGUUUAAAGAUUUGUGCACACAACUGCAAAGAGAAAAGAACUGUGGCAUUGUGAGAAUUAGGAGUGAUCAUGGAACUGAAUUUGAGAAUGCUAGAUUUGAUGAAUAUUGCACAGGUGAAGGAAUCAAACAUGAAUUUUUUUUCUCCUAUAACACCUCAGAAAAAUGGUGUUGUGGAAAGAAAGAACAGAACUCUUCAAGAAUCUGCCAGGGUCAUGCUUCAUGCUAAACACCUUCUUUAUCGUUUUUAGGCUGAAGCUAUGAACACAGAAUGUCAUAUUCACAACAGGGUAACCUUAAGAUUAGGAACCACGACAACUAUCUAUGAGUUAUGGAAGGGAAGAAAACCUGCAGUCAAAUAUUUCCAUGUGUUUGGUAGCAGGUGCUACAUUUUGUCUGAUAGAGAUUACAGAAGAAAAAUGGAUCCUAAGAGUGAUGAAUGAAUUUUUCUUGGAUACUCCACAAACAGUAGAGCUUAUAAGGUCUAUAAUUCUAAAAUUGAAACUAUGAUGGAAUCUAUUAAUGUUGUGAUUGAUGAUGUACCCAAAGAAAAGGUUCCUGAUGCUGAAGCUGAUGUUAGAACAUCUGUUCAGGAAACAAAUGCACCUAUCCAGGUGAAUGAAUCUGAACCUGACAAGGAAGAAACUGAAGAAAAUGAGCAAGAUCAGAUGUCCACCACUAAAGGUCCUUCUAUAAGAGUUCAGAAGAAUCAUCCUCAAGACCUAAUCAUUGGGAAUCCUGACCAAGGAAUAACAACCAGAAGAUUUGUUGGAGUCAUUACCAACUCUUGUUUUGUGUCCAAGAUAGAACCAAAGAAUGUCAAAGAAGCCCUGACUUAUGAGUUCUGGAUUGAAGCAAUGCAAGAAGAACUGAAUCAAUUCAAAAGAAGUGAAGUGUGGGACUUAGUUCCAAUACCUAAGGGUAUAAAUGUGAUAGGUACCAAGUGGAUCUAUAAGAACAAAUCUGAUGAAAAUGGUACUGUAACCAGAAACAAGGCAAGAUUAGUAGCUUAAGGCUACACGCAGAUAGAAGGUAUGGAUUUUGAUGAGACUUUUGCUUCCGUUUCUAGAUUGGAAUCUAUAAGACUGCUGCUAGGUGUAUCAUGUAUACUCAAGUUUAAGAUGUUCCAAAUAGAUGUAAAGAGUGCCUUUCCGAAUGGGUACUUGAAUGAAGAAGUUUAUGUUGAGCAACCUAAAGGUUUUAUUGAUCCUAGCUUUCCCAAUCAUGUGUAAAGAUUGAAGAAAGCUUUGUAUGGCUUAAAGCAGGCACCUAGGGCUAUGUAAAAGAUGACAAUGGAAGACUGAUGAUUUCCCAAAUAUAUGUUGAUGACAUUGUUUUUAGUGGAAUGUCGAACAAGAUGGUUCAACAUUUCAUUCAGGAAAUUCAGUCUGAGUUUGAAAUGAGCUUAGUUGGUGAGUUAACCUAAUUUCUUGGGCUUCAGGUUAAACAAAUAGAGGAUACUAUCUUCAUUUCUUAGAGUAAAUAUGCCAAGAACAUUGUGAAGAAAUUUGGGUUGGAUAAUGGUGGUCACAAGAGAACUCCAGCUGCCACUCACAUGAAGCUAACAAAGGAUGAAAGUGGUAUAUUUGUUUAUCAAAGCAUGUACAGAAGCAUGAUUGGGAGUUUACUAUAUCUUACUGCAAGCAGGCCAGGUAUAAAGUUUGUUGUAGGUGUUUGUGCAAGGUAUCAAGCUGAACCAAAGAUGAGUCAUCUUACUCAAGUGAAGAGGAUACUGAAAUACAUCAAUAGCACCAGUGAUUAUGAGAUCUUAUACUCAUACAGUGAAGACUCUAAGCUGAUGGGUUACUGUGAUCUUGACUGGGAAGGAAGUGCUGAUGACAGAAAAAGUACCUCUAGAGGAUGUUUCUUUCUAGGAAAUAAUCUGAUAUCCUGGUUUAGUAUGAAAUAGAACUGUGUGUCUCUAUCUACUGCUAAAGCCGAAUACAUAACAACUGGGAGUAGUUGUUCUCAACUUGUUUGGAUGAAGCAGAUGCUAAAGGAGUAUAAUGUUGAACAAAAUGUUCUAACCUUAAACUGUUACAACCUAAGUGCUAUCAACAUUUUCAAGAAUCCUAUUCAACAUAGCACAACAAAGCACAUUGAUAUUCGACAUCAUUUCAUCAGAGAUCUUGUUAAAGAAAAGGUUGUGACACUUUAGCAUGUUGACAUAGAGGAGCAACUGACAGACAUUUUCACCAAGGCCUUAGAUUCUAAACAAUUUUAAAAACUAAGGGGCAAGUUGGGAAUUCGUCUGCAUGAGGAGGCUUGAUUAUUUGUGUUGUCAGACGUGCUAUCAAAUCUCUUUUUGCAUGUCUUUGAUUUGUUGGGUAUACUGCACUGAAAUACUCGUGUUGCUUGUGUGGCUAAAAAGGGGGAGAAAAAUGAUAUAUCUAUACUCUCUAUUAUGCGCCUGUUUGUCUGCAUUUGUUUUGCAGCUUUAUGUAUACUUGCAUGUAUUCCUGUUGUUGCAUUUACUUUGCAACUAUUUUCAGGAUGUGUAGAUGUUGUUACUAAUGUUGCAGCAUCUCUAUGUUGUCUGAGAAUUUAUUCUUCUCAGCUUUUAUUUUGUACAUGUUCCUUGCUGACGUUCUCUGGAAUGUUGGAGCAGGUCUGUGAAGACUAAUGUAAAUGUUAGCACUGGUGCUACAACAUCUCCGUGUUGUUCAGAGAAUUUAUUUUUCUUAGAAUUUCAAGUGUACAUGUUCCCUCCUACUGCUUCAAUAUAUUGGAACAUGUCUAAUAUGUGUGACCAUUGAUAGGUCUGCUAGUUAGUGAAUAUUCAUUGAAAUAUUUUAUGCCUAGAUCCUGAAUUUAUUUUUCUAUGCAUUAGGAGUUUUUGAGUGUUCAGUGUAACAUCUCAGACUGCUUUCAAGAUUGCCGACUGACCCCACAAACCAACACGAGUCUUUUCAGCGUGUUUUGUCCUCACUCGCACGCUUACCGGGAAACUUCCCGGUAGGUCACCCAUCCCAAAAUUUCUCCAAGUCAAGCACGCUUAACUGUGGAGUUCUUAUGGAAUGAGCUACCGAAAAGAAGAUGCAUCUUGUUGAUAUAGGUAGUAACAAACAAUUCUUAUAAGCCUUCCUUCAACCAUGCAGUCUCAUACCUGCACGGCCUCAGGAACCGUCUCAUUCCGGUGUGAUUCGGUUCCUCUAGAAGCUGUCAGGAGCCGCUCAUUGUCGUGCCUUGUGCACCGGCGACCACUCCCCGUCCUCGUCAGCCUUGGGUGUUACAUAGUUGUAACGCCCUCUUUGAAUUAUUUAAUUAUUUGAUUAUUUUAAGGAGUUCAGAAUAUACUUAUAUGAUUUGUGUGAUUUAUAUGAUUUAUUUUGAUGAGUAAUAUUUUGUUAUGUUAUAUGUUGGUAUUUAUUAGUAUAAUAUAUAUGUUAUUUGGUUUAGAAAUAUAUAUAUUAUUUGUUGUAGAAAUAUAUGUUAUAGAAAUAUAUAUGAUUUGUUGUAGAAAUAUAUGUUAUUUAGUGUAGAAAUAUAUAUAUGUUAUAGAAAUAUAUUUGUUAUUCGUUAUAGAAAUAUUUUAUAUAUAUAUAUAUAUAUAUAUAUAUAUAUUAGAAUAGAAUAUUGAGAUUUUGGGGAGAUUUGGAUAUAAGAGAAAAAUAAGUAGGUUAAGGAUUCUUAUAAAAGGGGAGAGUUAGAAUUAGAAAAGAAGGAUUUCGUGCAAACUGCUUUUGGGAGAAAAAGGGAAAAAGUGAGAAGUCAGAGAAAAACAAGAGAAGAGAAGAACCAAGAGGAAAGGCUGUCGAUCGGUAAUCUUAAGGUAAAGGUGAGACUAACUUUGCAAUUCUAUUAAGUAUGUGAAUCAACGGUUACAUUUAACAUGGAUUAGGAUGAGUUUAAGAGGAAUCGGAAAUUAGGUCAAAUUGAGAGAAUUGAUGAUUAAACGGUGAAAACUUGUUAAAAAGAUGUAGAAACUGUCCUUAGACCUUAGAUAAUGAUUAUGAUGAAUUCUGGAAUCGAGAUUAGUCUUAAAACCAUGAGAGUUGAUGAUUUUUAGGUGAAAACUGCAUUCUGCCCGUAGCGACAUUCAUCGCUUGCCUCUCGGGCUAUGAUCCUCGCCACGACGAGUGAUGAACUUCAUCGCUCGCCACGCGAGUAAUCUUUCCCCGCCUCGCGAGUUGCACGUUGCAACUCGCCAUGGCGAACACUUGAACUCGCCUAGCGAGCUAGACCAGAGAGCAUGCAAGAUUUUGUAAUUUUGACCUUUGAGUUGAUCCUUAGAUGCUUUUGAGUGCCUGAACAUGUCUAAUAAUGAUUAGGUAAGAAUGUAGGAUGAGAUUGAACCUGGAAUGAAACUUGUGAGGUUUUGACCUGAACUCGCCACGGCGAGCAGAGGCUCUUGCCUCGCGAGUGACCCAGAAACAGAGUGACUUGUUAGAUUUUGCGACCUUUGUUGCACGAGUUGUUGAGGAUUAAACCUUUGGGUAGCAUUAAGACUUAAUGAAGAGGUUAACCAUAAUCUAUGAAGCUGUUUAAAGAUGUGUUGUUAUUUGAAUUAUUUGAUAUAUUUAUGUCAUGCUGAUUUUGUGUACUGCCUAUGUUGCUGUUGUUAUUUAACUAAGCUGCAUGAGUCGGUCUAAGUUGUUGAAGAUGAUGAUGUUCCAAAUUAUUGGACUAAUAUAAGAGGUUGUCGAAUUAAGUUGUUUAAGAGGUCGAGUCCAUGCAUUAGCAUUCAUUGUUGGGGGCUUGAUGCCCUGGAGCUUUGUACUCACCACGUUGGAGCAUUAGCUCAAAUUAGCGAUUGGGGCUUGAUGCCCUGGAAGUAUAUUAAUACUUAAAUAGCGUAUUGGUACCACAUGCAUAUAAGAGGUCUAAGUUGCAUAGUCGUAUUGUCGAGUCAAAGUUGUUAAGUUGUCAAGAUGUUAAAUUAUGAUUUGAUGUAUAUGAGCUGUUAAUGAUGUGAUAUAUGACAUAUUAUUAUCUAUGAUGAAUAUUAUGAUGAUUUUAGGUUGUUAAAUAUAAUUGCUGAAUUAUAUGCUUAAUAUUAUUGUUUUGUGAAAUCUCACCCCUUCUGCUUGGAAAUGUUGCUCUUCCUAUGAGUAACUUGUAGGUGAUUGUUAUUAGGUUGUUGUUGUUGCUGUCGUGAGUGACUUAUUCCUCACUGAGUCUUAGGAUGCUCUGAUACGUAAUGGGAUGGGAUCUUUUGUGGCUAUUUUCUAUUCCUUUACGUAUUGCUUUUGCUUUAAUAAGGCAUGCGUGCCAAGAAUUUAUCUAUGUUAAUGAAUUUAAUCCGCUGCAAAGUUUGAAUUAAUAUGUUGAUGAUUUUUGGAAAGAUAAUUAGUUAAUUAUCUCAUUUAUUAUAUUUUAGAAGUGUAGCAUUCCGUUAUAUGUUAUUUACUCUGAUAAAUGUUUAUGAAAUUUUUAAGUUGGGAAAACGGGGUGUUACAUUCAGAAUAUCUAUAUGAAUGUAUUCAGGGGGAGUAAUGGAAUAUUCAUGUAAGUAGUCACUCAUAGGUUCAUAUAUUCAGGGGGAGUGAUACUUCUAUGUGUGCUUGUGCUAAGUCCAAGCUGGUUGACAGGAUUCAGUCAGAUGUUUAAACAUCCAUGUCUGUCACUUGCAAGUAUGGGAAUUUACUUUUCCCAUGCUUCUUUUUGUGGUUAGUGAAAGUACUCUAAAGACAUCCAUGCAUGUCACUUGUAAGUGUGGGAAUUUCUUUUUCCCGCUUCUAUUUGUGCUUUGUGACAAUGCUUUGUAAGUAUGAGAAAUUUAUAUUUUUCCUUGCUUCUUGUAUGAUAGGUGAUCCUGUCUGAUGUAACACCCCGUUAUCCCAAAGCAAUUAAUUAAUAAAUAAUCAUCAGAGAAUAUCCCAAACGGGCAUGUCACACUACUUUUCAAAAUUUUCUUAAAUAGAAUAUAAAACUAUUUAAUAAAUAUCCUUCAUAAACAACAAUAAUUUGCAGCGGAAAUAUUUCUCAACAUUUAACUUCAACAUCAACAUUAAAUCCUGGCACAAAGGCCUCAACAUAAAAUCAUCAACAUUGUUCAAUUAACAAUAAAAGGCUACAUCAGCAAGUUCCAAAAAUUGAUACAUAGGAAUGAAAAAUAAAGUAAUUCCCAUCCCGUACGUAUCAGAGCCCUAGACAUUGAGCCACCACCUACUACUCAGGAUCACCUGCAAGUUACCCAUAGAAAGGGCAACAUUUUCAAGCAGAAGGGGUGAGAUUCACAACAAUAAAUAUAGAUAUAAAAUUCAUCAAUUGAAUCUAACACCCUAACAUAAUCAUGGUUAUUCAAUAUAAAUAUAUAUUUCAUAAUUAAUACAUCAACAACAAUGGUAUUUACAACCAACAACAAUGACUCAUGCAACUACUGGACAACACCGCUAAGACUCCUCGACAAUGCAACAAUGCAUGUGGUACCAAUUUACAGGGCAGAAGCCCUCACCGGAUAUUGAAUUGUUAAAACAUUCAUCAAGGCAUAAGCCCUCACCGCUUUGAACAAUUAAAGUGUUCCAGGACAUGAGUCCUCCUGCUUUGAACGACAGGGCGUUCCAGGGCAAGAGCCCUCCUGCUUUAUAUGCUUAUGCAACUGACUCCACUUGUGUAUAUCUACAUACAACUUAACAAUGCAUAUAUGUAUAUAUGACUCACAACUCCAUAUUAAACAACAUGUAUGAUUUAUUUAAAUAUAACAUACAUCACAGUCAUCCACAGAUCAUUAUAAUCAAUCCAACAAUUCAGAAAAAUGCACAAUUAAUCAUAAUCAUACUCAUACAUCAAGCUCAAUCAACAUUAUUCAUUUAAGGAACAAACAGCUCUGAUACUAGGCAACUCGCCUCGCGAGUACAUCUACUUGCUAUGGCGAACUCAAGGAAUGGGUUGCUCGCCAUGGUGAACUCAAGGCGAAUGAGAAAAAGGGUGCUCUCCGGAGUUUUGACAUUUUUCUCACUAAAUCUUCACUUUUAAGCUCCCUAUUCAUCUUUUUAAUCUAAAAAUUGUUCCAGUCCUCUCUAAAAGCAUUUAGGCACUCAAAACUAACCAAAAUACAGCUUAUAACAACAAUUCAAAAAUCAUGAUCUCUCAGGCACUUGCUCGCCAUGGCGAGUGGUUCUGCUCGCGAGGCGAGCCAUGAAGUUGUUCACUCGCGACGCGGGACUAGCUACUCGCUGGGGCGAGCGAUGAAUAUCAGAACGGGCAGAAUGCAGGUUUUUCUCAAAAAUUCCAAUUUCCUCAAUUUCACUCCCCAAAUUAGUUUACAGAUGCAAGACUAAGUGUUGUAUGCAAGCAGAACCUAAUUCUAACAUCAGAACAACAAUCUCUACACUCAAUUCACUCAAAAACCCAUAAUCUAACAUAAAUCCCAAAAUUUCCAAUUCUAUCAUAAACCUGUUUAAUCCAAAAUCAGAAUUCAAUAACUAUACUACUGAAGCAAACCUCACCCUUACCUUAAUUCAGAAGGACAAAUUCUACAGAAUUCUUGUUCUCUUGGCUCUUCUCCCUUGUUCUUGGUUUUCUCUCCCAAAACUUGUUUUACAUAAAACUGCUUCUGACUUCUCUUUUCCUAACUCCCCAAAAUAUAACUCCCCUUUAUUUCAUUUACUCCCCCUUAAUUCUAUUAAUUCCUAAUUAACUCCCCAACCUCCAAAAUAUUAAUAAUUCUCACAUUAUUCUAUUUAAUAUUAAUAUAAACUAUAUAAUAAAAUAAUACACACCACAUAAUCAACAAAUAUUAUUUAAAACCAUAUAAAAGACUCUAAAUAAAUCAAAAAUAAAUAAAACAACGACUAGGGCGUUUCAUCUCAUGUGGUAUAGGUUGUGGAACAUCCUAUUUUGUAGGUUUGAAGAUUCAUUUUUUCUUGCCUUUAUGUGUGGCAGAUACUCCUGUCUGUGGGAGGUUACCUUCCCUUGGUGUAGUAUAGGAUUCUUCCUCUGCUCUAUGUUGUGAAGGAUGUUGAAACAUCCAUUGUGUGGAGAAGUUAUUUUUCCACUCUAUAGCAUAUGAAUUUGUUUUUCCACUACUCUUGUGAGACUAUGCAUAUUUCUUAUCUGUUGCUGCAUGUCUCUGAUAAAGUGUAAUAUCUCUGCAACUGAAGCUUUGAUUGAAGAUCCUUGAGGUAUUCUAUGUAUGCACACGUCUGAUAUGUCUAUAGUGAUACUGUAACGCCCUAGUCGUUAUUUUAUUAUUUUUAGAAUUAGUUAGAAUCUUUUGUGUGUUUUUAAUUAAUAUAUGUGAUAUUUGUGGUGUGUAGUAUUUAUUUAUAUAAUUUAUUUAAUAUAAAUAGAAUAAUAUGAAUAAUGGAAUUAUUUAGGAGGUUGGGGAGUAAUUAGAAAUUAAUAGUAAUAAGGGAGGUUUUAAUGAAAAAGGAGAAGUUAUGGUUUUGGUGAGUUAAGAAAGAAAGUCAGAAAAACAGUUUAACGUAAAAACAAGUUGGAGAGGAGAAAAGCUAAGGCAAGGAGAGAAGACCAAGAGAGAAGAACUUAGGAACUGAUUUGCUGUGCUUUUUGUCUUUGCAAUUCUAAGGUAAGGGUGGGAUUAUCUUUCAAUAGUCAUAAUAUAUAAUUUCUGAAAAUUAAUCAAUUGAACUGUUCUUAAGGUAAAAUUGGGAAAUUUAGGGUUAAGGAUGAUUUUGAAAGAAAAGGUAUAAGGAUCAGGUUUAUAUUGUUGUACUUUGAUGUUUAGUAUGAUUUCUUAAUCUAUGUUGUUGAUGCUGAUCGUAAUUGGAAUGAAAAUAGAAUAUGAUGAAUGAAUUUUGGAAGCCUUGCAUGAAUGCUUGAAUGAAUAGAAUUGAUGUUGUUGAUGUUUAGUUUUUCCGUUCCUUGAUGUCUGGUUGUGUAUAGGACUCGUAAACAUUUCAGGAAAACGUUUUGGGUGAUCAGGGGAUUAAAAUUGGGUUUUUGGAGUGAGGAGAAGUCUGAAAAUCGUAGCUUUUACCCUGCCCAGAUGAUUGGUCGCUUAAGCGAAGCAUCCGUCGCUUAAGCGAACAUUCACGUGAACUACCCAGAAUGUGAUUUUACCCGUUCGCUUAAGCGAACAGUGAGCGAACUGGUAAGCGAAAAUUAAGUUUGAUUCUGCCAAGAAUUCGCUUAAGCGAGCCGUGAGCGACCCAUAAGCGAACUGAACCCAGACCUACUGUAAGCUGGUCGCUUAAGCGAACUAGCCGUCGCUUAAGCGAACUGAGUGUUAGACAGCCUUUUCUGAAUCUUGCUUCGUACACUAGGGGACCCUUUUGAGUACUUCUAGGUGUUUCUCUUAGCUUGUGUAACUUUGUAUAGACAUGAAAUCCUACUUAAAAUUCACGACGUUAAUUAGUUGGUUAUUUUUAUGAAUUUGAAGAUGUUGAGGUACUUGAAUCAAGUGAAUGUACAUGUUGCAUGAAAAAGGUGGUGAGUCAUAUAAGUACAUAUGCAUUUGUCGUUGAGUUGUAUGCAGAUAUACACAAGUGGAGUCAGUUGCAUAAGCAUAAAAACGAUGAGGACUUCGGUUCUGGAACGCUUUGUCGUUCAAAACGAUGGAACACUAUGUUGUUCAAAACGAUGUUAACGAUGAGGACUCAUGUCCUGAUAAAAGAAUGCUUUAACCAUUCUAUAACGAUGAGGGCUUCGGCUCUGUUAUGGUACCACAUGCAUAGUUGCAUUUGUUGAGGAGUCUUAGUGGAGUUGUCAUGUCCUGCAUGAGUCUUAGAGGUGAAGUCGGGUUGUUGCAUGAGUCGUUUGUUUACUGUUUUUAUUACUGUUGGAUGUUGAAGUUGCUAAUGAUGCUAUACUAUAAUUGAUGAAUGAUUAAGAUGAUAGGGUGUUAGAUUCAUUUGUGUUAUUAUAUAUUAUUAUUAUUGUUUGAGAAUCUCACCCCUUCUGCUUGAAAAUGUUGCCCUUCCUAUGGGUAACUUGCAGGUGAUCCUGAGUAGUAGGUGGUGGCUCACAGUGUCUAGGGCUCUGAUACGUGGGAUGGGAUUUUAUUGCUUGAAUUCUUUCCUAUGUAUCAAUUUUGAAAUAUUGCUGAUGUAGCCCUUUGGUGAUUGAAUUUUAUGUUGAAAUGGCUCUUAUGCCAAGAAUAUUUAUUGGAGACUUAUUGAUGUUGCAAAUAAAUCCGCUGCGAGUUUAAUGACAAUUUAUGAAUGACGUUUGAUUAAAUAGAUUUUUAUAUACACUCUAUUUAGAAGAUUUUAAAUGAAGAAAUGUGGCAUGCCCGUUGUGAUUACUCUGAUUAUUGAUGUAUUAUUAUUAUUUUAAUUGAUUUUGGGAAACGGGGUGUUACAGUUGGUAUCAGAGCAGGUUGGUCCGUCCGACCGUGUAGUAGAGUCGUGUUGAGCCACCUAGGAUAGAGUGUUAACUCUAAAGUUGUCUUUGUUGUUUUCUGAUUGCUAUUUCUUAUGUAGAACCUUGAGAUGGCCGGUCGUAACGAUGCUGCUAUCGCUGCUGCACUUGAGGCUGUUGCUCAAGCUGUAGGACAGCAACCAGCUGCUGCUAACGGUGAAGUGAGAAUGCUGGAGACUUUCCUGAGAAACCAUCCACCAGCAUUCAAGGGAAGGUAUGACCCCGAUGGAGCCCAGACAUGGCUGAAGGAAGUAGAGAGGAUCUUCAGAGUCAUGCAGUGCUCUGAGGUGCAAAAAGUGCGGUUCGGGACACACAUGCUGGCUGAGGAGGCAGAUGAUUGGUGGGUAGGCCUUUUACCUAUGUUGGAACAAGACGGAGCGGUGGUGACAUGGACUGUAUUCAGGAGGGAAUUCCUGAAUAGAUACUUUCCGGAAGAUGUCCGAGGGAAGAAAGAAAUAGAAUUUCUGGAGUUGAAGCAGGGUGACAUGUCUGUCACAGAGUAUGCUGCCAAGUUCACGGAACUUGCAAAGUUUUAUCCUCACUACACUGCGGAGACAGCUGAGUUCUCCAAAUGUAUUAAAUUUGAAAAUGGUUUGAGAGCUGACAUCAAGAGAGCCAUUGGAUAUCAGAAGAUCAGAAUUUUCUCAGAAUUGGUGAGUAGCUGUAGAAUUUAUGAGGAGGAUACAAAGGCUCAUUAUAAGGUGAUGAGCGAGAAAAGGAAUAAGGGUCAGAGUAGUCGCCCGAAGCCCUACAGUGCUCCUACUAACAAAGGCAAACAAAGAUUGAAUGAUGAGAGGCAGCCUAAGGGGAGAAAUGCUCCUGUUGAUGUUGUUUGUUACAAAUGUGGUGUGAAGGGCCACAAGAGUAAUGCUUGCACCCAAGAUGAGAAGAAAUGUUUCAGAUGCGGUCAGAAGGGUCAUAUGUUGGCUGAAUGCAAGCGUGGAGAUAUCGUUUGUUUUAAUUGUGGCGAUGAGGGCCACAUUAGCUCGCAGUGCACGCAACCUAAGAAGGUCAGAACUUGAGGGAAGGUUUUCGCUUUGACUGGUACCCAGACUACCAACGAGGAUCGACUUAUCAGAGGUACUUGUUUCUUUAAUAGUACUCCUUUAAUUGCUAUUAUAGACACUGGUGCUACGCAUUGUUUCAUUGCUUUAGAAUGUGCAUAUAAGUUGGGCCUAAUUGUAUCUGAUAUGAAAGGGGAAAUGGUUGUUGAAACUCCAGCCAAGGGUUCAGUAACUACUUCUCUUGUGUGUUUAAGGUGUCCGUUGUCUAUGUUUGGUAGAGAUUUUGAGGUCGACUUAGUGUGUCUACCGUUGUUGGGAAUGGAUGUUAUUUUCGGGAUGAAUUGGUUAGAGUAUAACCGAGUCUGUAUAAAUUGUUUUAACAAGACGGUGCACUUUUCUUCUGCGGAAGAGGAGAGUGGAGCAGAGUUUCUAACUACUAAACAGUUGAAGCAGUUGGAACGAGAUGGAAUUCUUAUGUUUUCUUUGAUGGCAUCUUUGUCGUUAGAGAAUCAAGCUGUAAUUGACAGGCUACCAGUGGUGAAUGAAUUCCCUGAAGUUUUUCCAGAUGAGAUUCCUGAUGUGCCACCAGAAAGAGAAGUUGAGUUCUCGAUUGAUCUUGUUCCGGGAACGAAACCAGUGUCGAUGGCACCGUAUCGCAUGUCAGCUUCUGAAUUAGCCGAGUUGAAGAAACAGUUGGAGGACUUGCUUGAUAAGAAGUUUGUGAGACCCAGUGUUUCGCCGUGGGGAGCACCCGUGUUAUUGGUGAAGAAGAAAGAUGGAAGUAUGAGGUUGUGCAUUGACUAUCGUCAGUUGAACAAAGUUACAAUAAAGAAUAGAUAUCCACUUCCGCGGAUUGAUGACUUGAUGGACCAGUUGGUAGGUGCUAAAGUUUUUAGUAAGAUUGACUUGAGGUCGGGUUACCAUCAGAUUAAAGUGAAGGAUGAAGAUAUGCAGAAGACGGCUUUUAGGACACGAUAUGGUCAUUACGAAUACAAAGUGAUGCCUUUCGGUGUUACUAACGCGCCUGGUGUGUUCAUGGAGUAUAUGAACCGAAUUUUCCAUGCUUUUCUGGAUAAAUUUGUGGUGGUAUUUAUAGAUGAUAUUUUGAUUUAUUCUAAAACUGAAGAGGAGCAUGCAGAACACUUGAAGAUUGUGUUGCAGAUUUUGAAGGAGAGAAAGUUGUAUGCCAAGUUGUCGAAGUGCGAGUUCUGGUUAAGUGAAGUGAGUUUUCUAGGCCAUGUUAUUUCUGGUGAUGGUAUCGCGGUUGAUCCUUCGAAAGUUGAUGCAGUAUCUCAGUGGGAAACUCCGAAGUCGGUGACUGAAAUCAGAAGUUUCUUGGGUUUGGCUGGUUAUUACCGUAGAUUCAUAGAAGGAUUUUCAAAGUUGGCACUUCCGUUGACUCAGUUGACUUGUAAAGGGAAAUCUUUUGUAUGGGAUGCUCAGUGUGAGAGUAGUUUCAAUGAGUUGAAGCAAAGAUUGACAACUGCUCCUAUUUUAAUUUUGCCAAAGCCGGAAGAACCUUUUGUAGUUUAUUGUGAUGCUUCCAAGUUUAGUUUAGGAGGUGUGUUGAUACAAGAUGGAAAGGUGGUAGCUUAUGCUUCUAGGCAGCUGAGGGCUCAUGAAAAGAACUAUCCUACGCAUGAUUUGGAGCUGGCUGCGGUGGUGUUUGUUUUGAAGAUUUGGAGACACUAUUUGUAUGGUUCAAGAUUUGAAGUGUUUAGUGACCACAAAAGUUUGAAGUAUCUGUUUGACCAAAAAGAAUUGAACAUGAGGCAGAGGAGAUGGCUUGAGUUAUUAAAUGAUUAUGAUUUUGGCUUGAAUUACCAUCCGGGUAAAGUUAAUGUAGUUGCAGAUGCGUUGAGUAGGAAGACGUUGCACAUGUCGGCCUUAAUGGUAAAGGAGUUUUAAUUGCUCGAACAGUUUAGGGAUUUAAGUCUCGUGUGUGAAUUGUCAUCUCAAAGUGUGCAGUUGGGUAUGCUGAAGAUCAAUAGUGAUUUCUUGGAUAGUAUCAGAGAAGCGCAACAAGUUGAUGUUAAGUUUGUGGAUUUGAUGGUCGCUAGUAAUCUAGCGGAGAAUAGUGAUUUCAAGGUUGAUGAGCAAGGUGUGUUGAGAUUAAGAGGCAGAAUUUGUAUUCCUGACAAUGAGGAAUUGAAGAAGUUGAUUUUAGAAGAAAGUCAUAAGAGCAACUUGAGUAUUCAUCCGGGAGCUACAAAAAUGUAUCAUGACUUGAAGAAAUUGUUUUGGUGGUCUGGUUUUAAAGAAGGAUGUCGCUCGGUUUGUGUAUGCGUGUUUCACUUGUUAGAAGUCUAAGGUUGAACAUCAGAGGCCUGCAGGUUUGUUGACACCGUUGGAGGUACCAGAGUGGAAAUGGGAUAUCAUUUCUAUGGAUUUUGUGACAAGUUUACCUAAUACUCCGAGAGGGCAUGAUUCGAUAUGGGUUGUGGUAGACAGGUUGACGAAGUCGGCGCACUUCAUUCUGAUUAAUAUCAGUUAUCCAGUAGCUCAGUUGGCGGAGAUCUACAUUUAGAAUAUUGUUAAGUUGCAUGGUGUUCCGUCAAGUAUAGUGUCAGAUAGAGACCCAAGGUUUACUUCAAGAUUUUGGAAGAGUUUACAAGAUGCGUUGGGUUCGAAAUUGAAAUUGAGUUCGGCUUAUCAUCCGCAGACAUAUGGUCAGUCGGAAAGGACGAUCCAAUCAUUAGAGGAUUUACUAAGAAUAUGUGUACUUGAGCAGGGUGGAGCUUGGGACAGUCACCUACCAUUGAUAGAAUUUACAUACAACAACAGUUACCAUUCGAGUGUUGGUAUGGCACCGUUUGAAGCUUUGUAUGGUCGGAGGUGCAGGACUCCUUUAUGCUGGUUCGAGUCGGGAGAAAGUGUUGUGUUGGGGCUGGAAUUGGUUCAUGAAACUACGGAGAAAGUCAAGAUGAUUAGGGAGAAGAUGAAAGUGUCGCAGAGUCGACAAAAGAGCUAUCACGACAAGCGUAGGAAGGACCUUGCGUUUCAGGAAGGUGACCAUGUUUUUCUGAGGGUUACUCCUAUGACGGGUGUGGGACGUGCAUUGAAGUCGAGGAAGUUGACUCCAAAGUUCAUUGGUCCUUACCAGAUUUCAGAAAGAGUUGGAACUGUGGCGUAUAGAGUUGGUUUGCCACCUCAUCUUUCGAAUUUGCAUGACGUAUUUCAUGUGUCGCAAUUGCGGAAGUAUGUACCAGAUCCUUCGCAUGUUAUUCCAAGAGAUGAUGUGCAAGUUAGAGAUAACCUGACGGUGGAGACCUUACCUUUGAGGAUUGAUGAUCGAAAGGUGAAGUCUUUGAGGGGUAAAGAGAUACCUCUUGUAAGAGUUGUUUGGGGUGGAGCAACUGGUGAAAGUUUGACUUGGGAAUUGGAAAGUAAGAUGCAAGAAUCAUAUCCUGAGUUGUUUGUUUGAGGUAAGAUUUCGAGGACGAAAUUCUCUAAGUUGGGGAGAGUUGUAACGCCCUAGUCGUUAUUUUAUUAUUUUUAGAAUUAGUUAGAGUCUUUUGUGUGUUUUUAAUUAAUAUAUGUGAUAUUUGUGGUGUGUAGUAUUUAUUUAUAUAAUUUAUUUAAUAUAAAUAGAAUAAUAUGAAUAAUGGAAUUAUUUAGGAGGUUGGGGAGUAAUUAGAAAUUAAUAGUAAUAAGGGAGGUUUUAAUGAAAAAGGAGAAGUUAUGGUUUUGGUGAGUUAAGAAAGAAAGUCAGAAAAACAGUUUAACGUAAAAACAAGUUGGAGAGGAGAAAAGCUAAGGCAAGGAGAGAAGACCAAGAGAGAAGAACUUAGGAACUGAUUUGCUGUGCUUUUUGUCUUUGCAAUUCUAAGGUAAGGGUGGGAUUAUCUUUCAAUAGUCAUAAUAUAUAAUUUCUGAAAAUUAAUCAAUUGAACUGUUCUUAAGGUAAAAUUGGGAAAUUUAGGGUUAAGGAUGAUUUUGAAAGAAAAGGUAUAAGGAUCAGGUUUAUAUUGUUGUACUUUGAUGUUUAGUAUGUUUUCUUAAUCUAUGUUGUUGAUGCUGAUCGUAAUUGGAAUGAAAAUAGAAUAUGAUGAAUGAAUUUUGGAAGCCUUGCAUGAAUGCUUGAAUGAAUAGAAUUGAUGUUGUUGAUGUUUAGUUUUUCCGUUCCUUGAUGUCUGGUUGUGUAUAGGACUCGUAAACAUUUCAGGAAAACGUUUUGGGUGAUCAGGGGAUUAAAAUUGGGUUUUUGGAGUGAGGAGAAGUCUGAAAAUCGUAGCUUUUACCCUGCCCAGAUGAUUGGUCGCUUAAGCGAAGCAUCCGUCGCUUAAGCGAACAUUCACGUGAACUACCCAGAAUGUGAUUUUACCCGUUCGCUUAAGCGAACAGUGAGCGAACUGGUAAGCGAAAAUUAAGUUUGAUUCUGCCAAGAAUUCGCUUAAGCGAGCCGUGAGCGACCCGUAAGCGAACUGAACCCAGACCUACUGUAAGCUGGUCGCUUAAGCGAACUAGCCGUCGCUUAAGCGAACUGAGUGUUAGACAGCCUUUUCUGAAUCUUGCUUCGUACACUAGAGGACCCUUUUGAGUACUUCUAGGUGUUUCUCUUAGCUUGUGUAACUUUGUAUAGACAUGAAAUCCUACUUAAAACUCACGAUGUUAAUUAGUUGGUUAUUUUAUGAAUUUGAAGAUGUUGAUGUACUUGAAUCAAGUGAAUGUACAUGUUGCAUGAAAAAGGUGGUGAGUCAUAUAAGUACAUAUGCAUUUGUCGUUGAGUUGUAUGCAGAUAUACACAAGUGGAGUCAGUUGCAUAAGCAUAAAAACGAUGAGGACUUCGGUUCUGGAACGCUUUGUCGUUCAAAACGAUGGAACACUAUGUUGUUCAAAACGAUGUUAACGAUGAGGACUCAUGUCCUGAUAAAAGAAUGCUUUAACCAUUCUAUAACGAUGAGGGCUUCGGCUCUGUUAUGGUACCACAUGCAUAGUUGCAUUUGUUGAGGAGUCUUAGUGGAGUUGUCAUGUCCUGCAUGAGUCUUAGAGGUGAAGUCGGGUUGUUGCAUGAGUCGUUUGUUUACUGUUUUUAUUACUGUUGGAUGUUGAAGUUGCUAAUGAUGCUAUACUAUAAUUGAUGAAUGAUUAAGAUGAUAGGGUGUUAGAUUCAUUUGUGUUAUUAUAUAUUAUUAUUAUUGUUUGAGAAUCUCACCCCUUCUGCUUGAAAAUGUUGCCCUUCCUAUGGGUAACUUGCAGGUGAUCCUGAGUAGUAGGUGGUGGCUCACAGUGUCUAGGGCUCUGAUACGUGAGAUGGGGUUUUAUUGCUUGAAUUCUUUCCUAUGUAUCAAUUUUGAAAUAUUGCUGAUGUAGCACUUUGGUGACUGAAUUUUAUGUUGAAAUGGCUCUUAUGCCAAGAAUAUUUAUUGGAGACUUAUUGAUGUUGCAAAUAAAUCCGCUGCAAGUUUAAUGACAAUUUAUGAAUGACGUUUGAUUAAAUAGAUUUUUAUAUACACUCUAUUUAGAAGAUUUUAAAUGAAGAAAUGUGGCAUGCCCGUUGUGAUUACUCUGAUUAUUGAUGUAUUAUUAUUAUUUUAAUUGAUUUUGGGAAACGGGGUGUUACAGAUACUGCCUGUUACUUCUUCUUCUUAAAUAUGUGUUCCUGAUGACAUGAGGAAAUGUAUCUAAGGUAUCCCUUUAGAUUCUGUUUGCUAGUUGUUUCUUCAUAUGUAUGUGUUCAUGCUCUUGGAGAAUACUAGGUCAAAAAACUAGUGGAUUUCCUUCCUGGCUUGGUAGCCCCCAGAGUAGGUGUGUUUGUCACCGAACUGGGUCAACAAAAUCAUUGUGUUCUUUACUUUCUUGUCGUUUAUUUUCUUGUUUUUACUUUCGUUUAUCGCGUGAUGUUGAAACAUUGAACGAAACAUUGCAUACGUACAGAACAUAUUAAAACAAGUGCGUUAGAAUUUCAGUUUCCCCCAACAAGAGGGUCCAAAAGGAAUUGAUAAGAGUAAAUCUCAGCAAGUAAAGGGGCUAUUAUGAAAUAAAGGGGCUAGUAGACAUCCUCAGCAAGUCCUCAGAGUCUGCUCAUAAAGGCAACCUGUCUUGCUUUUUAGUCGGAUUUUGGUGGGGUAAAUCCGCAAGUGCACGGUUUACCGAAGUAGUAAUAAAGACUAUCGUUUCGACAGGGAGUUAUGAAUUCAAUUGAGUUUUAACAAUGAUUAGAAGAGAGUUCAAGUUGAAAAGUUGGGAUUUUUAACGGCAGAAAAUAGUAAUAAAAAGCGCCUUGGGAUUAUUGGUUCGUGAUAGUGACAAAUCCUUCACAAACCAAACCCUAAAUCUAGAACUUUAUGUUGGACCUAUUUUCUAAAGAGAAGUUUCUCUUUAGCCUAUCACACCUCCUUUCGGUUUCAGUGAGUGUGUUUCGUUAGCAACCAUGCCUAUUCUCAUGGUUGAUUGCUAUUGAAACCCUUGAAGCACGAAACUUGUUGUAUCAAGGUUUGCUAGAGUAUUCCCAUGUUUCGCAAUCCUUGUCUAAUUUCACUUGUUCCAAUAUCAAAACUUCAUCUUUCGAUCCUUCGCUUGAUAUAUGUGAUUAAUCAAUAACAACUAUUAAACUUCAUCUUUCGAUUCUUCGAUUAAUACUUGUUAUUGAUUAUAAAAACGGUGAAUUAGAUUAGAAAAUAGAUUUACAUAAUAUUAGGGUUCGAGGCUUGUUUGAUAGGGAUUACUUAAUUAGACUCAUCAAACAAUCCCAAGACAAGAAGAGGAUACUCACACAUUUUCAUGGGAUUACUUAAUUAGACUCAUCCAACAAUCCCAAGACAAGAAGAGGAUACUCACAUAUUUUCAUUGUAGACAUAGAAGAGAAGAAGAAGAACAUAAAAUAAAAUAAAGAUGAACUUUUAUUCAAAGGAAACAAUUGUCACUAUUAAUUUCCAAGAACAAGAGAUGAUUGUAUAUGUUUGCUAGCUGCUCUAUUUAUAGUCUACAACUACUUAAGCCCCAAGAAAUACAUCAAUGGAAUGUUCCACAAGAAACCAUGGGCUUUAGGUCAGAAAUAAACUUAAACAGACAGCUUGUCGAAGAAGCAAAAGCAGUAAAAGGAAUGUUAUGAUGGUGGCACGGCCGUGCCACUGAGGCACGGGUUGUGCCAACUCUCUGACUUGGCCAAUGAGAUUCAAACUUUGAUGGCGUGGCCACGCCAUUGUCAGGCGCGGCCAUGCCUGAUAUUUUUGCACAUAAUCUUCAUAUUUUUGGCCCGAAUCAGCUCAAAAUAUCAUUUCUUUUGCUCCAAGACUCAAUCUUUAAAAUAUUUGUUCUUGAAAUUAAAUAACUUGCAAUCUUUAUGACUUAUCAUAUUUGAGCCUCUUUUGGAAAGCAUUACACAACACAUCCAAGAACUCCAUGAGAAGGCCGACGAGCAGAAUCGUCUUUGACUACAGAAAUUAGAUCAGAGUAAUCUCUUUUAGAAGAAACCUUCUCCCUAAAAUCUGCAGCUCAAAAAGAACAAAUUGAACUAGAAGACUUGAAAGCGAACAUUCCUUUGUGGGAAGAUGAAGUUAGAAAGUGGCAGGCGAAAGUUGAUGAAGGGAAGAAGAGGAAGUCUGAACCUAGUUUCCAUCAAAGAUCGCCUAAACUUCAAAGCAGAUGCUGCUCUUCGCCAUCUAGAGAAGGCUGGUGCAAUCGAGACUGAUGUCAAUGUAUUAUUAACAAUUGAGUCCCAUGCCGUCUCGAAGUUAAACUAAGCUGAAGCGGUUUAUGAAGCUCUGAAUUAGAAGUUUAAAUUCUAGACUUCUAUCUUAGAACUUUCUCAAGUUUGGCGGUGUUAUGGAAACUUGUUAACAUAACACUUUCCAGUUUUCGUAAUAUUUCGACAAUGUCUUGAGUUAGACAAUCUUUUUUCUUGGUAUAAUUUUGGUUUUAUCAUAUGCCAAGUUUCAUUCCUUGACAAAAGAUUACUCUCUCAUUGUUUUACCUAUUUUCACAAUAGGCUUAUGUUUUUUUAAAUACUCGUCGUUUAUGUUAAACACUAUGUUGCCAGAAAGUAGUUUUCUUAACAAAUUGUUAAUGGUAAAAGUUUGAAUUCGAAAAGUUUCAGGAUAUAAACGAUUAAGAUACGAAAAAUGGCUUACUUGAAUUUAAAUUUAAUUCUCUUUCUGCCCCCACAAGUUUUGGCAUUAACAAUUUUGCCGAAGGGCAUUCAGUAGGACCCAAUUUACCUUGGAUCUCUAUUAAUUUCCUCAAUUUCUGUUUAGAAACUGUAUAUCCUGAAGCAACUUGCGCUGAAAUAUCAAAAAUGCAAUCAAGUUUUUGGCCUUCAACCAUUAUUUCUUUUGAUUUGUCACCGACAACAUCUUUCUCAAUGGUUCCUAUAACCAUCUUUUGUUUUAAUUUAGCUUCUAAGACUUUUUUGAUCUUAUUUUCAGCCAAGUAGGUCGUUAUCAUGUUCCAAGCAUCUUGCUCAAACAUGAUAAUCAUUCAAUCAUUCCGCCUAGAUGGGGGAAUUAGGUCUUUUGCCAUGUAUUCUGUGUUAGAGACCUCCUUUUCCCAUAUGUAGCCAUGGAACAAGUCGAGCCUUACAGAACUCACAUUUAUUUGGUCAUUACAACCAUCUUCAGCAAAAGAACAUGGUGCUAUUUUUUCCAAACUUUUCUCAAAGGUUUUUCUUGUGACAUGAUUAACUUCAACAAGAAAGUAACUUUGGUCUGCCUUGACAUUUUCAACCGAGCCAUCAUCCAUCCAGAUUACAACUCUCUGGUGCAUAGAUGAAGAAACACACCGAUUCCAUGUAUCCAUUCUCUUCCUAAGAGAAAUUUGAAGUUGGAUUUUGAUGGUACCAUCAUGAACAAAGUUGGUAUGGUAAUAGAUCCCACAGUGAGAUUCAUUGGGAGAGCACCAAGAGAAAACCCAUCUUUCAUUUCAUAGUUAGGACUAUGUUGUGAGAUUUUAAAUCUUUACCACAUUUCCCAAUCUUCUUAAGUAAAGUUGAGGUAUCAGAUUGACAGCAACACCACCAUCUACCAACACCUUGUUGACUCCAAUAUCAUCAACUUUGGCUUGAAUUAAUAGUGAUUUGAGAUGGCCUUUCGUAGAGCUACUUGGUUUCUCGAAUAUGGCUUUCUGUUGAUCACCACAUCCAUAAUCUGUUACAUAGCAACACAUUGAUUUAUAUUUCUCCAUGUCUUCUGGAUUGUAAUCAUAUUUUGAUUCUUUGACUUCAGAUACUACGUCAUAUUCUGUACGCAAAAUAGAAACCAAAUUGCAUACAACGUCGAAAUUUGGUUAUGUAUCCAUGAAGUCUGAAUCCAGUCCAUCAUCUCUAACAAGGUUCUCCUUAAUACGAGGCAGAGACAACCUUUCUUUCACUGGUCUUUUAGUUGUUUCGACCAGCUUUUCUUUUUCUGUAGGGUCAACCGCUUUAUCAUAAGAACUUGCAUCAAUACCCUUUUUGGACCUUUGAUACCUUCUCCACUGAGUUCGAGCAAUAUGAUUUUUUUCCUUUGUAAUUAUUACAGUAGGCGUAUUUUCUUGACUCGUUUGGAUUUUCAGUAUCAGUAGUAACAUUUUUAGUAACAGUGUUACUAGUUUAGCAUGGGGCACAAACAUUUUCCCUCGACAAUUCUUAUUAACAUAAUUAGUUGUCGAAGAGUUAUUGAUGAAAGGAAUAUAACUCUUAGUAAAAGAGAACUUUGGUCUAAGAUUAACAGACCAUUUUCCUCUUUUCUUGGAUUUUGGUAGCCACUUUGUCGAACACAGAGCUACACCUGGGGCACAACAUGACCUUAGAGUUUUUCAACCUGCACUAAUUGAGAAAAUCGAACAGUUAUUCUUCAGGCAUGGGAUAAGCCACUUUCGCCUUCUAAUCAAACUAAGAUUCUGAGAUGACUUCAUUAUCAUGUUUGAGGUGUCCAGAAGCUUCUACCAUCUGCCAUUCAGCGACAUAAACUUUUUCUUCAACAUACCGUUUUUCGACAGCAUCCACAAUAAUGGCUUCCACUACGUUACAACCUACAACUUGUGUGUACAUUGCGUCAACGUCUUUUAGGGCAUCCACAUCCACUUGCAUAUGAGGCUUUGUUUUAUCUCCAAACUUCAGCUUGCCUUGAUUCAUAGCUCUUUCCACCUAGUCCUAAAAAGUACACAAUCCGAGGUCUUAUGUCCUAAAAAAUUAUGAUACUUAUAAAACCAUAUCUUUUUACGCUGCUAUAGUUCUCGAAUUUUAGACCAUUAGGUACCGCCACUUGGCCAUCAACAACUAAGAGAUAUAAAAUCUCAUCGCAUUUGACCAUUAGGUACCGCCAUUUGUGUCUCGGCGGGAUUUUUCCCAUUUGACGAUCUCAACAUUUUGCACGUAUUAGGAGGCCCGGGUUUCAGUUUAGCAACAAUCACCUCUCUGUCUUUGAUUUCUUCAAAAGCUAUGACGAAUUCUUGGUCACUUUCAUUUGUGUUUAUGUAAGCAAUCUUCUCUCUUCUAUAUUCGUGAUUUUUGGCUUUCUUAUCCCUCAGUCUUUCGACCUGUCGAACACUGUUGACCAAUUGGGCCAUAUCUCUCAAUUAUUGAGUAUCUAAUUUCUUCUUGAUAGAAUAGUCUAGGCCACCAGCGGCCAUUGCAACUAACUCAUGUUCAGGCACUUGAGUAAAACAUCUAGCCUUUAAAAAUUUGAAUCUAUUCAAAUAAUCAUCAAUUGAUUCAGUUGUUCUUCUCCUAACACUCGCCAAUUCCUUUAGACUUAUCUUAGAUUGGCCCAUGUAAAAUUGUUCAUUGAAUAACCUUUCUAAUUGAGUCCAAUGUUGAAUAGAAUGUGGUCCAAUGUUUAAUCUCAAAUUCUCAUUGUUUGCUAUAUCUCCAACCUCAGUCAAAUAUCGUGCUAUAUGUUCGAUAGUAGAUUCAAUGGUAUAACCAGCAAACUACAUGAACUUAGGAAUCUUACAACCAAUAGAAAGUUCAAUUUGUAGAACACAUUUGGACAAAGGAUAUACAAAGUUUGGGCUAUGUAAACCCAUGUUUAAGCCAUUCUAUGCCAUAAUAUUUUCAACAAAAUUGGAUAUGUUAUUAUGUGCUCUGAUGUUUUGUAGUUGGACAUUCCUAACAACUUCAUUUGUAUUAUGUUUCCUGUUCACCAAAAUUACUUCUGGAUGUGCUUGCAUCAUUGGUUCAACUGGUUGCGGUUGAGGCACAUGUUAUUGCCUUUGAACCACAGGUUCGACAACUUGCAUAUGUUGAAUAUUCUGCAUCUGUGGGAUAUUUUGGAUCUAAGGAAUCCGUUGAUAGACAAGUUGUGGAGGGGCGAAGAAAUCUAUUAUUUUCCCCAUUUGAGUGGCUGAUUCUUGGUAACUUUGGUUUGUACUUUGAAUCAAGGGAUUAAACACUGUAUAAAUUUGUUGUAUUAACAAAUUAACCAUUUCGUGAUUGCUCUCAUUCGUUUGUUGCCUAAACAACAUCAUUGAUUUUGUAGUUAAGGUUGGCAGAGAACUUAUGCCAAAAACACUAGAACUUGAAGGACUAUGUGUAUUGAAUGGCUUGAAUGGGUUGUGGUCUAUGGUUGCAGACGCAUUAUUAUGCAAGUUUUCCAUCAUCAAAGUUGGCAUACCAUAAGGUUGUUCUCUAGACAGACUUUUCAUCGUUACGUACCUAUCAUCAAGUCUAGGACUAACUUGAGGAUGAGGGGACGUAGGAACACUGGUAGACACAUAUACAACAGCCGUAAAUGGAGGCACAAAGGUUCCCAUUUUUGGUCGUUUCAUUGCAAUAGUUGUUGUCGGAGCGGUUGUGGAAGCAGUUACUCCCAUAUCCGUCAAAACCGGCAUGAUCAUGGUUGCGUCCACGUCCAUUGAUACACUAGCAGCCACUAAUGGGGCAGAUGCCUAUGUAAAUUGUGCUUGUGGGUAGGAGUGGAUGAUUGCGAUGAAGCAGAACCACUACUACUAGUGGAUUUAGUCAAUAUUUUCAAAGUUUUACCACUUCUUAAAUGCAUGUACAAAAUGCGAUAUUUUCUCAGAAAAAGUUUACUAAAAGUAGUUGCUAAUUUUCAGAAAAUAGUUUUCGCAAGAAAGGAUUUUAGAAAAAACUUUUGAAAAGUUAUGGAAAUUUCUUCCAAAAGUAUUUGUAAAUGACGCACAAACAGGUGCGCACUAGGAGUGCCAAUUUGUUUACUGGUUUUUUUGUUAAACAAUAUAGGCUGGUUUUGAUUAUUACAAUCAGUAUCAAACCAGAAAUUCUAGAAAAAGAGUUCGCGUUCAUCAAAUUCAUAGGUUGCUUUAUGAACAAGACGAGAUCGUAUGGUGUUCUUCGACAGAAAAAUGUUUCAAAACAAAAGAAAACGCAGUAAAUGCAAGAUAAAGGCUAAAAGUUAAAAUUGCAGAAACUUAAAGAAAAGAUAAAUUGUGUUGCAUUAAAAAUAAAGGUGGUUCGACAAAUCCAUACAUUAUGUAUAACUAUUUUUGUCUUGCGUUGGUACUUCAGGUGUUGUAAAAUUUCUAUAAGUGAUUUGCUCCCCGUUUUCCCUAUGGAAAACUACUAUUUAUACAUAGUAAAAUAACUGAAAAAAGCCUAAUUCUAAGAUCAACACUUCUUCCAUGUAAACAACCGCUUGUCUCCCACAUUUCCAUUGAGGAAACUGCUUCUCUUUGAAAUUCGAAAUCUUCCCACCUCAAUCGUAGUUGCAUUGCUUCGCCGGUCUUGCAUUCCUGACUCACAUCUUGUUGAACUCUAGGGUUUUAGACCUUUUCACGCUAAGUCCUACAUUCGUCGAACUCAUCAAGUUGAGCAAAGGACUUCGAUUCCUGCAGAUAUUAAAUUAAACUAAUGGUGACCGCAUUAAAUGAGCCUAUUGAAAUUACAUGAUAACAGUAGGAAAAUACAAGUUCAAGCAACAACUUUCUCGUAAUGGACAUGAGGCAAAAUGCGUGGAGAUGCUCCAAGAGGGAUGCCCCAACCUAGAAGUGAUAAAGCUCAUCCUCCAAAAGGAAACCGCUUGGGGGUCUGAUGGGGCUAAGUACUUUGUGUUGGAACAAAAUGUGUUUUACAAUAAACCUUAAUGAGUUUUGAUGAUAACAAGGUAUUAAAAAAAUUGUCAAUUGGUUAUUGCUAAUAUUUGUUCAAGUGUACAGGACCAUGGGCAAAGUUAAUCAAUUUCAAUAGGUCUUGGAAGAACAAUAGAGAGCAAAGGAAUUUAAAAGCAUCUGAAGGAACUCAACGACUCUUUGGACGUGCUAAAAAUCUCAACGUCUCUCUACUCACCUCUAUAUAAAGGAGUGAAGACUUGAAGAUUGGUAGAGAAAUCACCACAAGUUAAAAGUGCCAAAACUCUGCCAAAUUUGAUUCUCAAAAGCACUUUGAAUUUCUGCACUGAUUUGAUAUAUCUUAGAAAUUCUUAAGUCUAGAGUCUUUUACUGCAUUGUAUUGUGAACACUACUGAUUGUAUAUCAAGUGUUCAAGUCAAACAAUUUUCUGUGUAAUUCUGUUUGAUUAGAAGUCUCUUGCUUUAGUGCUUGAGCAUUGGAAGUCUCUNNNNNNNNNNNNNNNNNNNNNNNNNNNNNNNNNNNNNNNNNNNNNNNNNNNNNNNNNNNNNNNNNNNNNNNNNNNNNNNNNNNNNNNNNNNNNNNNNNNNNNNNNNNNNNNNNNNNNNNNNNNNNNNNNNNNNNNNNNNNNNNNNNNNNNNNNNNNNNNNNNNNNNNNNNNNNNNNNNNNNNNNNNNNNNNNNNNNNNNNNNNNNNNNNNNNNNNNNNNNNNNNNNNNNNNNNNNNNNNNNNNNNNNNNNNNNNNNNNNNNNNNNNNNNNNNNNNNNNNNNNNNNNNNNNNNNNNNNNNNNNNNNNNNNNNNNNNNNNNNNNNNNNNNNNNNNNNNNNNNNNNNNNNNNNNNNNNNNNNNNNNNNNNNNNNNNNNNNNNNNNNNNNNNNNNNNNNNNNNNNNNNNNNNNNNNNNNNNNNNNNNNNNNNNNNNNNNNNNNNNNNNNNNNNNNNNNNNNNNNNNNNNNNNNNNNNNNNNNNNNNNNNNNNNNNNNNNNNNNNNNNNNNNNNNNNNNNNNNNNNNNNNNNNNNNNNNNNNNNNNNNNNNNNNNNNNNNNNNNNNNNNNNNNNNNNNNNNNNNNNNNNNNNNNNNNNNNNNNNNNNNNNNNNNNNNNNNNNNNNNNNNNNNNNNNNNNNNNNNNNNNNNNNNNNNNNNNNNNNNNNNNNNNNNNNNNNNNNNNNNNNNNNNNNNNNNNNNNNNNNNNNNNNNNNNNNNNNNNNNNNNNNNNNNNNNNNNNNNNNNNNNNNNNNNNNNNNNNNNNNNNNNNNNNNNNNNNNNNNNNNNNNNNNNNNNNNNNNNNNNNNNNNNNNNNNNNNNNNNNNNNNNNNNNNNNNNNNNNNNNNNNNNNNNNNNNNNNNNNNNNNNNNNNNNNNNNNNNNNNNNNNNNNNNNNNNNNNNNNNNNNNNNNNNNNNNNNNNNNNNNNNNNNNNNNNNNNNNNNNNNNNNNNNNNNNNNNNNNNNNNNNNNNNNNNNNNNNNNNNNNNNNNNNNNNNNNNNNNNNNNNNNNNNNNNNNNNNNNNNNNNNNNNNNNNNNNNNNNNNNNNNNNNNNNNNNNNNNNNNNNNNNNNNNNNNNNNNNNNNNNNNNNNNNNNNNNNNNNNNNNNNNNNNNNNNNNNNNNNNNNNNNNNNNNNNNNNNNNNNNNNNNNNNNNNNNNNNNNNNNNNNNNNNNNNNNNNNNNNNNNNNNNNNNNNNNNNNNNNNNNNNNNNNNNNNNNNNNNNNNNNNNNNNNNNNNNNNNNNNNNNNNNNNNNNNNNNNNNNNNNNNNNNNNNNNNNNNNNNNNNNNNNNNNNNNNNNNNNNNNNNNNNNNNNNNNNNNNNNNNNNNNNNNNNNNNNNNNNNNNNNNNNNNNNNNNNNNNNNNNNNNNNNNNNNNNNNNNNNNNNNNNNNNNNNNNNNNNNNNNNNNNNNNNNNNNNNNNNNNNNNNNNNNNNNNNNNNNNNNNNNNNNNNNNNNNNNNNNNNNNNNNNNNNNNNNNNNNNNNNNNNNNNNNNNNNNNNNNNNNNNNNNNNNNNNNNNNNNNNNNNNNNNNNNNNNNNNNNNNNNNNNNNNNNNNNNNNNNNNNNNNNNNNNNNNNNNNNNNNNNNNNNNNNNNNNNNNNNNNNNNNNNNNNNNNNNNNNNNNNNNNNNNNNNNNNNNNNNNNNNNNNNNNNNNNNNNNNNNNNNNNNNNNNNNNNNNNNNNNNNNNNNNNNNNNNNNNNNNNNNNNNNNNNNNNNNNNNNNNNNNNNNNNNNNNNNNNNNNNNNNNNNNNNNNNNNNNNNNNNNNNNNNNNNNNNNNNNNNNNNNNNNNNNNNNNNNNNNNNNNNNNNNNNNNNNNNNNNNNNNNNNNNNNNNNNNNNNNNNNNNNNNNNNNNNNNNNNNNNNNNNNNNNNNNNNNNNNNNNNNNNNNNNNNNNNNNNNNNNNNNNNNNNNNNNNNNNNNNNNNNNNNNNNNNNNNNNNNNNNNNNNNNNNNNNNNNNNNNNNNNNNNNNNNNNNNNNNNNNNNNNNNNNNNNNNNNNNNNNNNNNNNNNNNNNNNNNNNNNNNNNNNNNNNNNNNNNNNNNNNNNNNNNNNNNNNNNNNNNNNNNNNNNNNNNNNNNNNNNNNNNNNNNNNNNNNNNNNNNNNNNNNNNNNNNNNNNNNNNNNNNNNNNNNNNNNNNNNNNNNNNNNNNNNNNNNNNNNNNNNNNNNNNNNNNNNNNNNNNNNNNNNNNNNNNNNNNNNNNNNNNNNNNNNNNNNNNNNNNNNNNNNNNNNNNNNNNNNNNNNNNNNNNNNNNNNNNNNNNNNNNNNNNNNNNNNNNNNNNNNNNNNNNNNNNNNNNNNNNNNNNNNNNNNNNNNNNNNNNNNNNNNNNNNNNNNNNNNNNNNNNNNNNNNNNNNNNNNNNNNNNNNNNNNNNNNNNNNNNNNNNNNNNNNNNNNNNNNNNNNNNNNNNNNNNNNNNNNNNNNNNNNNNNNNNNNNNNNNNNNNNNNNNNNNNNNNNNNNNNNNNNNNNNNNNNNNNNNNNNNNNNNNNNNNNNNNNNNNNNNNNNNNNNNNNNNNNNNNNNNNNNNNNNNNNNNNNNNNNNNNNNNNNNNNNNNNNNNNNNNNNNNNNNNNNNNNNNNNNNNNNNNNNNNNNNNNNNNNNNNNNNNNNNNNNNNNNNNNNNNNNNNNNNNNNNNNNNNNNNNNNNNNNNNNNNNNNNNNNNNNNNNNNNNNNNNNNNNNNNNNNNNNNNNNNNNNNNNNNNNNNNNNNNNNNNNNNNNNNNNNNNNNNNNNNNNNNNNNNNNNNNNNNNNNNNNNNNNNNNNNNNNNNNNNNNNNNNNNNNNNNNNNNNNNNNNNNNNNNNNNNNNNNNNNNNNNNNNNNNNNNNNNNNNNNNNNNNNNNNNNNNNNNNNNNNNNNNNNNNNNNNNNNNNNNNNNNNNNNNNNNNNNNNNNNNNNNNNNNNNNNNNNNNNNNNNNNNNNNNNNNNNNNNNNNNNNNNNNNNNNNNNNNNNNNNNNNNNNNNNNNNNNNNNNNNNNNNNNNNNNNNNNNNNNNNNNNNNNNNNNNNNNNNNNNNNNNNNNNNNNNNNNNNNNNNNNNNNNNNNNNNNNNNNNNNNNNNNNNNNNNNNNNNNNNNNNNNNNNNNNNNNNNNNNNNNNNNNNNNNNNNNNNNNNNNNNNNNNNNNNNNNNNNNNNNNNNNNNNNNNNNNNNNNNNNNNNNNNNNNNNNNNNNNNNNNNNNNNNNNNNNNNNNNNNNNNNNNNNNNNNNNNNNNNNNNNNNNNNNNNNNNNNNNNNNNNNNNNNNNNNNNNNNNNNNNNNNNNNNNNNNNNNNNNNNNNNNNNNNNNNNNNNNNNNNNNNNNNNNNNNNNNNNNNNNNNNNNNNNNNNNNNNNNNNNNNNNNNNNNNNNNNNNNNNNNNNNNNNNNNNNNNNNNNNNNAACCUCCAGACCCUUAGAAUUACUCCAUAUUGAUCUGUUUGGACCAGUUAACACUGCAUCCUUAUAUGGAAGUAAAUAUGGAUUGGUCAUUGUUGAUGAUUACAGCAGGUGGACAUCGGUAAAAUUCCUAAGAAGUAAAGAUUAUGCUUGUGAGGUGUUUAGCAGCUUCUGCACUCAAAUACAAUCUGAAAAGGAGAUGAAAAUUU
RNAcentral lists this long non-coding RNA (78183 nucleotides) under Medicago truncatula (barrel medic). RNAcentral's name for it is "long non-coding RNA (MTRU_LNC002431)". The stretch from base 7535 to 7608 matches the Rfam family "MIR5272 microRNA precursor family". Lineage: Eukaryota; Viridiplantae; Streptophyta; Magnoliopsida; Fabales; Fabaceae. The record is from RNAcentral.